This 64735-nucleotide long non-coding RNA is filed under the name Citrus maxima (pomelo). RNAcentral's name for it is "long non-coding RNA (CMAX_LNC003046)". Lineage: Eukaryota; Viridiplantae; Streptophyta; Magnoliopsida; Sapindales; Rutaceae. The record is from RNAcentral.
GUGUAUUUGCUUUCCCCUUAGACAUAUUCAAUUGUGGUUCAGGGUAAAAAAGCUACAGCUUUUCCUGCUAUGUGCAACAAGCUGUCAGAUCAGAGUGAAAUCGAAAACAGGGUUGUGGUUGAUGGCAACCUCAUCACCAGUAGAGGGCCAGGAACUUCUAUGGAGUUUGCACUGGCAAUUGUGGAGAAGUUUUUGGGCCGCAACAAGGCACUUGAGCUUGCAAAGAUAAUGCUUUUCACUCGCGCCUAACGUUUGUAUGGGGACCUGUCUACUAUUAAACUAGUGUGUUUAUUUCUGUAUUGCUACUGCUUGUAGAGAGGGGAAAUGGAAACUUGAAUUCAUGUUUGAAUAUGGAUUCACUGUGUGGGUUUGUACAGCAGUUUGGUUUAUAAAUAAAUGAGUUCAUGGAGUCACUUCAAAUAUUCGGAAUAAACCUGAGUUUAGAUCUGUUAUCAAUGGUCGGAGUCCAAUUGCGAUCGACUCACUGGGAAUUUUAAUUAUGAAUCAUGUUAUAUUCCACCUUUCUCAUAAAAUGUUAACUCGAUUUACAGGAUAAGAAGGAAAAGAAAGACGCUAAGAGAGGAGCAGACACCCAAAAAGAGUUGACCACUUUGUUGGAACAUAAAUCUCUAGAAUAUUGAAAUAAAACACAUACCAUAUCUAGUAUCAAGUAUGUAUGUGCAAGAAGAUACAAAUUUGAAGAUCAGAUUUCUCAUUUCAAUUUAUGUUCUGCUUAGAGCAAUGGCUCUUAUUCCACAAGCACAAGCAGGAAAGAGUACGCACGAAGUUAAGAAACACACAUUGCAAAAGUUGCAUUAACUACUUGCGGCAACAUCAUCCAAGAACUUGACUUUAAUCUUCUUGAGCUUCGCUGCAGCAUCUGUCAUAUGCAUUCUCUUGUCAGGUGACUCCAUACAACAAUCCAAUGCCAAAUCCAUGAUGCUUAAUAAACAAUCCAUUUUGGCAGAAAAAGCUUGCUCUUCUCGCACCAAAUUUGCGUCAACAACUUCACUCAAUCUGUGAGGUAAUGACUCCUUCACCCAUCUCCUUAAACUCAUUUCUUCUGUGAACAUUUGAUCGGUGGGCCUCUUUCUCGUGAAAGUUUCCAUCAAUAACACACCAUAGCUGUAGACAUCACAUUUGGCUGAAACAAUUCCUUCUAAUCCAUACUCUGCAUUUUUUAAUUUUAAUUAUGAAACAAAUGAUAAAACAAAUAAUUUUUUUGAUAAUUAAGGUAACCCAAACUUUGCUCGUGCUUGAAAAAAGAGCAAAAAUUUUAAUUACAAUUGAAACUUUACCUGGUGCCAUAUAACCAAUUGUAGCCAUUGUCAUGGUUUGUGUCACACAAUCUUCUCCUUCACCUAAGAGUUUGGAAAUGCCGAAGUCGCACACAUGUGCCAUCAUAUUUUCAUCCAAGAGAAUGUUGGUGGGCUUCAAAUCACAAUGAAUUAUAGGUGCCGACGAAUGACCAUGAUGGAGAUAUUCAAGAGCCGACCCCACAUCUAUCAUUAUAUUCAACCUCUCUAGAAUGUCUAAGAAAUAAUUGUAAGAAUACAACCACUUCUCGAGACUACCAUUUGGCAUGAACUCAAGUACCAAUGCUUUGAAAUCUGGAUUAGAACAACUGCUAAGGAUCUUUAUGAGAUUUCGAUGACGAACAUUCCGUAAAACUUCACAUUCAGAAUCAAAACUCCUAAAUGCUCUCUCUAGUUGCAGAUUGAAAAUCUUUAUUGCAACAUUAGUCCCGUCGGAAAUGGUUCCUUUAUAAACUGAUCCAAAACUACCUGUACCCAGCAAGUUACAUUCAUUAAAUUCAUCAGUUGCUCGUUGAAUGUCAAGGUAGGAUGUUCUUCUCCAUGUUGCAAGAGGUAGGAAAUCUUCGUGAUCUGAUUUUUUUGUACUCCUCUUUCGGCAUCUUAUGUACAUAAUGAUGAUAAUCACUAUAAGUACAGAGGAUACUAUCGGAGGCAAAAUAUAUUUAAGGACAAUUAGAGCAACGUUCUUGGUGCUUUUGCUGUCACCUUGUUUGCAAGGUGGGACUCGGAGUUUAGGUGGACCACAGAGUGCAUAAUUUCCGAAAAAUGAUUCAGUUGACAAGUUUUUAAAAGACCCCUUAACAGGAAUUUCCCCUUCUAGCCUAUUAUGAGACACAUUAAAUUGUUUGAGAUGUGACAAUAUCUCCAAUGACUUAGGAAUUUUUCCAGAGAGAUUGUUGCCGGAGAGAUCUAAGGAUUCUAAGCUUAUCAAACUGCCAACUGAUUCAGGAAUAGGUCCCUGAAAUUGAUUACGAGCCAAGGAUAGAGUUUCUAGAUCUAUGAGGGCACCAAUGGUUGAUGGAAUAUCACCUAAUAAUUGAUUCCUUGAUAAAUCUAAAACUGUCAAGACCUUUAACUUUUGUACAUUGGAAGGGAGAGGACCAUUUAAUGAAUUAGACGACAAGUUUAUCUCUAAGAUGUACUCAAGGCUCCACAAGGAUGACGGUAUACUAGAAGUGAGCUUGUUGGAGCCUAAGCGGAGUUCUCUUAGAGAUGUCAAACUCGCCAAGCAUGGCGGUAUAUGUCCAGAGAGCUUAUUUCCAUUUAACCUUAUUCCGUAUAUCAACUCCAAGUGGCAAAGAUCAUAGGGAAUGGAUCCUUCCAAAUUAUUUUCUUCAAGAGAUAAACCUUGUAGCCGCUUAAGUCUUCCCAUCGUUGGUGAAAUAGUUCCAUUCAAGUCAUUGAAGCCGAGGCUUAAGAGGAUCAGGCCACGCAACUUACCAAUUUCUUUAGGAAUGCUGCCCCCGAGUUUGCAGUUGGAUGCAUAAAAUUGUCGAAGAGAAGCAGAGAAAUUUCCAAUCACUGGUGGAAGGAUGCCACCCAAUGGAUUAUAAGCUAAGGCUAAAAAUGUUAAAUUUCUGCAAUUAGUCAGAGAAGAGAGAAAACUCCACUGAUCUGCUGAAGAUGAUUCUGUCGUCAAGUUAUUAAAUGCUAAGCUGAGCACGUCGAGGUGUCUCAAGUUGCCAAAUGUAUUUGGAAUAUGGCCCGAGAAUGAGUUGAAGCCCAAGUCUAGGGCAACGAGUUUAGUAGCAUUGGUGAUAGAGUGGGGAAUUAUCCCUAUAAGAUUAUUGGCCGACAAGGCUAAAUACUCUAUGUUCGGAAGCGAGUGGCCAAUCGUUGACGGUAAGCGGCCUGAGAGUUGAUUGCCCCCCAGAGUAAGGAUUCUCAUGGUUGAAAUGUUGAAGAUCGUGGGUGGAAUGAGGCCACUUAAAUUGUUGUCAGCAAAAACAAGAACCUCCAAAUUUUCCAGAUUGCCAAUCUCGGUUGGAAUUUGACCUGCCAUCAGGCCAACAUUGAGGAGUCAUUGAGCUUUUAGCUUAAGGUAAAUUGAGUUUGACAAUGUUACCCUUGAAAAUGUAAAAGGAUCAAAUUAAUUUUAUUACACAAUAAUUUCAGCCAAUAAUGUUCUUUACACAAUAAUUCUGCAAAAUAUGCAUGCAAAUGGAAAAAUAUGCUUCAAUUACAAGAGGUGGUGGAGCGUACCUCGAAGAUUGCUGAAGCUAAGAUCCAGAUACACGAGUUUACUCAAAUUUCCAAUCCUUGAAGGAAUAUUUCCACCAAUAGUAUUGAACUCUGCACGCAGCGUCUCUAGCCUUGAUAAGUUGAAGAGAGAAUUAGGGAUGGGACCUGUGAAACUGUUAUUAUAAAGUCUCAAUAUUCGGAGUUUAGAUAAGACACCAAUCCAUGAUGGAAAGCUUCCGCUCAAUUUAUUGUAAGCGAAACUCACGACUCUGAGUCGACGUAAUUGCCCCAAUUCUUUCGGCAGAUGGCCAUGAAAAUUGUUCUCACUAAUGUCAAGAGACACUAGAAAUGAGAGAUUUCCCAAGUGUAGUGGAAUGGUGCCUCCGAGACCCAUAUCUGAAAGAUUCAAGGCAGUGACUCGUUGAUGGCGUGAACCACAAGAGAUACCAACCCAGCUACAUAUUGGAUAAGAUAUAGACCAAUUAUUUGCCAGGGCACUCCGAUAAUCAAGAAUGUGGGCUUUGAAUGCCAGAAGAGCUGAUUGAUCUGUUGUUAAAUCGUUUAAAGUCGUCACAGCUAAGCUAGCAAUGAGAUACUGUAACACUAACACCGACAUAGGAACAAAGAAGAAUGAUAAGCGCAUAUUGGUCGUUUUUAGUAGUAGUUGCAAGGCGAGAUUGAUACAAGUUUUAAGUAAAGGAAAUUAGCAUAUACUUAUAAUGAGACAUAUGAAUUUGAAAAUAAGAGCAGAAAAAAUAUACAGGAGACUUGCAAAUUGUUAUAUUCUGUCAUUGAGCGAGCCGUCCAAGUAAACGCAUUUACACUUGAACCCUAAAUAAAGGCCUUAUGGCACUUUAAUUGCCAUAAGGAAGAAGAUGCUCAACAUUGCCAAAAGUGUUUUUCUUGAAGUCUCGUCUUCCGUAAUGUUUGUAAAAUCGAGGUUUUACCAUCUCUAAUUAAAUAUUUACUCUUGAUUUAGACCACGUAAUCUAAACUUGACGAAAAAUUAUGAUCUUAUGUGAUUUUAUGAAUGUGGUCUUAUCUCUUAUAAGUCGGCAAUGAAUUAAUUAAAGCUUGCUGACAAAUUACAAGCUCAAAAAUAUCUUUUACUUAUUCACAAUCUUAUUUCAUUUUUUUAUAACAUAAUAUUAAAAAUUUGUCUAUUAAAUUAAUUUAAUAAUUUUUUUAAUAAAAAAUCUCAUUGACGACCAAACAACUAAUUUUUUUUUUAUAAAAGCUUUGCUUGUUAAAAUUAUGCUGAAAAAAACUCUACUUAAGUAAGUUCUAUUUUUUUUAUAAAAGCCAUUUUAUUUCUUUAUCUUUUUUAAUUAUUAUUGGAAAAGUAGCGCAGCUUAUCAAAAAAGGAAAGAAAAAAAAAAGUCAAAGUGACGAGUGGCUUGUUUUUUAAUUUCAAAGUCAAUGCAAAGUAAAAGUACCGAAAUAAUCAGUUUUUAAAUCCAAAUAAGUGGCAAUAAAGGGAGGUCUUGUUAGGGGUGUUCGCGGAUCGAAUUUUAUGGAUUGGACAUCAAUCCAUAUUCGAUCCACGAUUUUACGGAUUAUAAAAUUUCAAUCCAAUUCAAUCCACGGAUUUGUAAAAUUCAAUCCAAAUCCAAUCCAUAAAUCUGCGGAUCAGAUGCAAAUUUGACCUAAUCCAUAUCCAAUCUACAAUUUUGCGGAUUGGUUUGUGGACUGAAAAUUUUUAAUUCUGUCAAAUCCACGAACUAACUAAAUAAAAAAAUUUAAUAUAAAAAUAAUUUUACUACGGAUCAAAUUUAAAAUUAAAUAAGAUUUAAAUAAAUAAAUUGCUUAAAUAAAGCUAGCAAAUACAUUUAAAGUUUCAAAAUAUAACACACCAAAAUGAAAAAAAUAUCAUUCGUUUUAGAUCAAGGAAAUUAACUAUUUAGUAAACUAUAUUUGUUUAUUUAAUUAUUUUUUAUUUUUUAUUAUUAUCGGAUAUGAUAUAAUAUAAUGUUAAUGUAACUAUAUUUUAACUUAUUUAUUUACUAGUAAGUACUAAUAACAUAUUUACAAGUUUUAUUUUUAAUUAAAUAAAUACUUUUUAUUUUUUUGCGGAUUCGCGGAUUUUUACCGAUUUACAGAAGUAGAUCCAUAUCCAAUCCACUGAUUGCGGAUUAUCAAAUUUUCAAUUCAAUCCAAUCCACCAAUCCACGGAUCAGACGGAUUGAGCAGAUCGAAUUAGAUUAUGAACACCCUUAGGUUUUGGUGUGCAUUGUUGAAAACUUGGAAGUCUAUAUGACCAUUUAACCAAACUAUAGGGGUAUAACUGUCACAAAUUUUUAAAAAUAAAUUUUACCAAACAUUUAAAUGAUUUUUUUUUCACAAUUGAUUAUUAAAUUCUAAGUGUUAGACUAUUGUAAGAAUACAAAUAAUUGACAUGGACAUAAUAUUAAAUAAAAUUUACUUAUAUAUAUAUAUAUAUAUAUAUAUAUAUAUAUAUAUAUAUAUUAUUGUUUGUAUAUAAAAAUUGCUAACUAAAAAAUAUUUAUAUUUUAUCAAUUUUAUUUCUUUUAUUUUUUUAUCUCAAGAUAAAUAUAAUAAUAACAAUCUCUCUAAAUUUAAUUAUUUUUGCUCUUUAUUGAAUAAGGAUAAUUUUGAGUUUCUGUAAUAUAUGUGAGGAUAUAUAUAAAAUUGUAUUAAAUAUAUAACUAUUCUCAAAAUUAAAUUUUAAAAAACUAGUUCAUUCUCACUUUUCAUUUAAUUAGGCAAAUGGCCACAGAAAUUGUUCUCCCUCAUAUCCAAAUAAACUGAAAACGAGAGAUUUCGUAAGUGUGGAGGGAUGAUGCCUUCGAAACCCAUCACUGAAAGAUUCAAGUUUGUGACUCUAUGGUAUGAGCACCACAACAUAUGCCAAUUCGACUGCAUAUUGAGUAAGACAUGGACCAAUUAUUCAAGAGAUUCAUGAGCCUUCGAAGUGAGAAAUAAAGCAAAUUAUGUGGUGGUCGUGGGUCAAUUGACUACGUUUCGUGAUCUACGUGCGAUUGCAACAGUCGGUUCAUUAAGUGAAAUUAAUGACUCGUCCACUAUAGUAAGAUACUGUCCUCAUUAGGUUGGUGCUGGGUCAAUUUUAUCCAUGAGUCAACUUACAUUAAUUUGAAUUAAUUUAUAAGAGUAUCUCAUUUUCGUUGAUUACGAGUUGUGAUCGAUGACAUGCACGAAAGCAGUCAAUUUACAGGUCAUUCACUAUAUAUAUGGGGUCUAUGGGUGGAUGGAUCUAACGUAAAUUAAGGGUUGAUGAUGACCCUCGACUUCUAACGACGACCAUCGAAGACGACCUUGACUUUACAUGCAAACACACAAUUCGCUCUCAUACAUUAUGUUUUAAAAUUUCUCCAUUUUCCGGGGCCCCGCUGUCGACCGUACACAGUUUAAUUUGUAUAUACAAGACCUCAUUGUUUCUAGCAAGCAUAGAGCCAUAGACCAUAUUAAUUCCAAUUACAUAAAUCUUCAUUUUUAUCAUGAUUUUGGAUCUCGAGCAGUGUGGAUAUAUCCAACCAGAUCCGCCUCACUGGCAUCCCAAUAUAUUUUAGAAUUGAGUAAUGAGUAUCAAUAAAUGUGUAAUUGUAAAUCUACAACGUUUAAUUUUAAUUUGAGGACUCAAAUGAAUUUAUCCAACAAUACCUCGUUAAAUUAAUAUUCCAUAAAUUUUUAACUUUAAUUAAAUAACAAAUUUUGUCCGUCCCAACUUAGGAUUAACGUGGUAAUUAAUAAUUUGAUAAAUUGUUAGAUAAUAAUUUUUUAAAAAAAUCUUAUUUUUUUAUUGGAUCAAACUGAUAUAUAAAUGAAUAAUUAAUUAAUUUUAAAACUAAAUUCAUGUUAUGUCAAUCAAAUGUUAUUGCAAAGAAGACUAGCAGCGACGCUUUGAAAGGUACACCAAAGCCUUUUGCACCUUCUCCUCCGUGACCACCAAUAGAUACUUCCACCAUUUCAACGUCAUGACAUGAUGUAAGUUUCUUUUGUAGAAUUUGCGAAUUGGUAAUCUUUUACACGCGUAUAUUUAUAUCAUUGUAUAGUUAUAGAUUCAAUUACUUUUAUGAUGCAUUUAUUAAUUUGGAAUUGAAGUAGACAAGAAUGGGCUGUAAUGUGAAUGGAGAAUCGAAAUUAGAAUAAGUUAUUUACUUGAACUGUAGAAAUCGAAAUGAGUUGGAUUGUCAUUAAUGUGUUUACUUUGUCUUGGAAUCAGAAUUGAAAUAAGUUAGUUUAUAACAAAUUACUAAAAACUACUUAAUGAACUAUUGUUAUAAUUAUUAUUUUGUAUUUUAAUUAUUAUGAUUAUUUAUUAAAAAUUAUUAUUGUUAUUAUUACUUAUUGUUAAUAGUAUAUUAAUAUAUUAAUAAAUUAUAAUAAUAUAUUAAAUAACUAUAAUAUAUUAAAAAAUAUACUUGUAUUUACAAGAAAUGACUGAUAAAAUUUCUAAAAUCGUCUUCCUCCCUAAAACUCUUAAUGCCACAGCCCUAAAAAUUAAAAAGAUUUGGGAAUUAUAUGUCUUUUUUAAAAUAUUAAAGGGUGUUUAUUUCCUUAAACGGUGGGGACUAAAAGUCCUAUUCCCAAACGAGUAGUGUGCCGGCGUUGGAGGCUAGAAAGACAAUUUGUUACAUUGCUUCAGAAGUGCUUAAUGGAAAUUUUGGUGAGGCAUCACAUAAUUUAAAGGAUCAGGCUACGGUGCAACUGUGGUACCGUACUACAGUUGCAUCCAGCCGUUUUAAUUCACUUAUAUUGGUGAGGUUCACUGGCAUCCAACGGCUGAAUGCAACUAUGGCACGGUACCACAGUUGCACCACAAGUUUCCCCUAAUUUAAAUUACUGGAAUUUGCAUCAAUGGUUUUUAUUGGUUUAUUUACUCGUCAACAAAUUACUGUAACUGCAGAAAACAGUGUAACACAUUGUAUAAUACGUUAAUACGUUAUAUUGGUCAGUGCUCCUACCAAGGAAAUCUUUUUAAGUUUUGUUAGCAGAAUAUUCUUGUAAGGGUGGAGGCAUAAGAGAUUAAUAAUUUAAUAUCUCUUGUUCAUUAGAAGAUUUUUUUUUUUUGGGAAAAAAAAAGAAGAAGAUGGUUUGUUUAAUGUUGAUAAAUUUUGAAGUACAAUUUUAUAGAUGUCGAAUGUGGGCAAAAAGUAAAGAAGCUCAAACACUUUUCUACAUCUAAACUAAUCAUUAGGAUUUAUAUUAACUAAUAAACCCUAAUAAUACGAGCGUUCAUAAAAACUUCAUAUGAACAUUGAACCAGCAUGGCAUCAUAUUGUAAUAAGUUGUACAGCUGUCAAUCUCUUAUUAGUCAGAUAUAUUCUGAGUUAGUUACAUGAAUGUAGUAUAAAUAUCAUACUCUGUACACAUUCUUAGUUAGUUACUUCAGUAGAAUUUUCUCUCCUCUACUCAAUUUUUAAGUUAUCUUUUAUAUUGGGGGCAAAUGAUAUUUUAUUAACGAAAUGAUUUUGCCCUCUUAAUAAGCUCUCAUUUCUCCGCUUUGAUCAACACAGCCUUCUUUUAUUACAUCAAAAUUCUUCCUCUUUCCAUCAAAAUUUCAUGGAUCUGCCCUUACGUAAAAUCAUAUGAGAGUAUAUAAUAAAAUUAAUUAGGUAUGUUUGGAACAUUUUUGGUAUCCUUAAGCUGAUUUUAUUUUUAUUUUUUUAUAGUAUAUAUUGUCAAAAGUAAAUGCUAUAAACACUUUCGGAAAAAAAGAUGAAGAGCACCUUUGGAGUAAUUUUUUCUAUAGGAACUAACAAAACAACUAAAUGAUGUAUGUAUCUCUAAGAUUUAUUAUUAUUAAUUUUUUUUUCUGUAGUUGACAAAGCAUCAUGAUUGUGUUGGAUGAUAAGAUUAAAGGUGGGAAUGGUCCGAAUGGACCAAUUUUUUAGGAUAAAAAAAAAAAUGAUUCAAUCCUGGGCAUGUUUGGCUAUCGAAACUAGUUGAUUAGUCUAAAGUUUAAUUCAAAAGUAAUGGGACUAUUAAUCCUUAGGAAAAUUAUCAUUUGUAUACUCUAUAGAUGCUCUGUUAUAUAAAAAAUUACAACACUUUGAGAGUGUAUCAAUCGUCCACCCUAAGUUGACAAAAUAUAUCUGCCGUCCAUCAAACCGUUACUUGCUGUUUAAAUAGGAUAGCGCCAGAGGGGUAAUUUGGUCUUUUCAUAUGAUACAAGUGAUAAUUCAAGGGUAUACAAGUGAUAAUAAAAGAAUUUAAAGGUAUACAAGUGAUACUUUUCAAGGGUAAAAUCAUCAAUUCGCUAUAAUUCCGUUAACUUUCAAACGACAGCUAACGGUUUAGUGGUCGGCAGAUAACUUUUUUCAAUUUAGGGUGGACGAUUGAUACACCCUCAAAGUGUUAUAGUAUUUUUUAUAAUAGAACAUCUAUAGGGUAUACGAAUGAUAAUAUCCCUAAUCAAUCCUUAAUUCAACUUAGGUUUAAGUAGUAUAUAAAAAAUCUUCUUUAUCACUCUUUUCAUUUUUAUUUAGAUUAAAAUUCAUAUAAAUAAAUAUAAAGAAUUAAUUUCAUAAUUUAUUUAAACUAAAAUUUUAUAUUAUAUUAAAUAUCCAAAUUUUAAUUCAAUAAUUUAUUUAUAUUAGAAUUUUAUGCAAUAUUAAAUCCCAAAACUUUAUUUAAUAAUUUAUUUACAAAAAUAUUAAUAUCAAAUUCAACAAUUAGUAAUAUAAUUUAAAAUAAUUACACUAUUUUAAUAGUUAUUUAGCUAUAUUAAAUUAAAUUUAACAUAUCCUUGUCCGAUACUAUACUAAACAAACGAUAGUACCUUAUAUAGUAUAGUCAAUCUAUUAUAAUAUAAUUCAAUCUAAUCGAACGUGCCAAAUCAGUACAUUUUAAAAAAUAAUUUUAUAACAGCUUUAAAAAAGCAUUUUUUAAGUUACUUUUACAAAAUGUGCUUUCUCCGAAAGCACUCGUGAAAUGCAAAUUCUCACAAAACACGUGGUGUGUUCAAUUGGGCCUCCGCCCAUUAAAACUACAACCAUGAAAGCAAGCAAUGUUCAUUGGGCUUUAUUCUCUCGAGAAAACUUAUACACGUAGCCCACCACCGGCGCCCUAAUUUGUCUCCACCUCUCUAAAUAGAGUUGGACUAUUGGCACCUUUCCAAAAUUCUUCUGAAAUUCCUUUUUCAAUAAUAUUAAGUUUAAUGCUAAAAAUAUCCUUAUUUCCAAAUAAAUACAUUUAAUUUGUGAAUAUUUUAAUUUUCUAUUAUUUUCUCGCUCCUCACAAACAAAUUUUUAUGGGCGAUAAACUUCUUGAUAAAAAUCAAUUAAUUAAAUAAAAUAUCUAUAAGAUUAUAAUGUAAAAAAUUUUAUUAUGAGUCUUAAAAAAAGACAGAUAAAUUUAUCAGAAUGUGUUUUGUUUAUUAUCAAUAGAUUAUUUUAGUAAUUAAAGAAAAAUUUAUAGAGAAUUUGAGAAAAAAAAUUACGUGUGAGUUUGAUAGCAAAGAAAAUAUAAGAGUUUUUUUUUAAGAGAGAAAAUACAAAAGUUUGAAGUGAGAUAAAAUAGAUAUAAGAUAUAUUAGAGUAUUUAUCCUUAAAUUUAAUUGUAACAAAAGAGAGGUUUUAAAAAGAUUUUGGAGGAGUGUCUCCAACUCCUCUAAAUAUUAUUGAUUGAUGCAUAUGUUUCACAGCAUAGAGUGGCUUACAUUGGAGCUUUUCUAAAAAAAUGAAAAUUUCAUUUAAUUAUUUAUUAUUCACGGAUAAGAAAUUAACUUCUUCUUUUUUCUAACGCCACAGUCUGGUGAGCUUGCCUAGUGUGUUUUAGUUGGAUAAAAAUUUUAGCAAAUGCUUCUUGGCAAGGAAGCUUAAAUAGUUUAACCUGAAUUUAACCUCGAAUGAACCCAAAUUAUUAAACCGAACCAAUCCGAAUUGUGAAUCUGAAUUUCAGUUCGAUUCAGUUUGGUUCAGGUUCGUAUUUUCAACUCGAACAAGUUUAAUGCUCCAAUUCGAUCAGGUUGUAACCUAAACCGAAACUCGAAAACCCGAACUGAAACUCAAUUUGGCCACCCCUAAUGAGAACUGAGAAGUACCUGGAUCGUAAAAGAAAGGUUUUGAUGAUAAUUUUGGCUAAAAAUCUGUUUCUUAACUUCUAUUUUUAUUUUUUUAUGCUGUAUUUUAGUUGCUGAAUAGGUUAUAUAUAGAAGUUCAGUUAAUUUUGUUUUGGAUGAAAAAUCAAUGAGUACUUCUGUGAUUAAUAAGUGAAAUUUUGUUUGCAUCAUAUAGUCAGCUAUAAUGCAUUGGAUGGCUUUGACUCAGCAUGGAAGAAAUGCUCUCCGGCAGAUUACUAAAGAGAGCUCUGAUCGCGUGUUGCAUCACCCAUUGCUAUUUUCUUGUCAAGGAGUCAGAUACAGACGAUUGGAAGUGAUUCUAACAACAAUGAGUAAAUUGAUCUUUUGUUUUCCCUUUUCACCAGUUUGGAUCUCUUGACUAAUCAGCCUGUUUGAGUUUUAACUUGUGUAUUAAUGAUUGGUUUUAUAUGUUCAGAAAGUUGACAAGCUUGGUAAAGCCGGUGAAACUGUGAAGGUUGCUCCGGGGUAUUUCCGGAACCACUUGAUGCCCAAAUUGCUUGUUGUUCCAAAUAUCGAGAAGUUGGCUCAUCUCAUUAGAGAGCAGCGCAGGUAUUUGUUUUUCAUGAUUCUUCUCGGUUGAACUUUUUUUGUUUGGGUUGAGAAUGGUUAAUUCUAGUGAUACAGAAAUUUGCUCAUUUUCUUUAGAUACUUUGUUUAGCCAGUUUGUCAAUUAAUUUGACUCAUGGCUUCAAAUUAUUGCUAAAUUCUCAGUUUGGAAAUAUUUGUGAUUUUUGAAGGGGCAUUACAAGUUAUUAAAGUUUGUUGUGCCUGUGACUUAUUUUCAUCAGAUUUGCCAGCCUGAGGAAGAGGAAGAGGAAGAGGAAGAGGAAGAGGUUAGAGUUAUCCGGAAGUCUGAGGACAAUAUGAGUAGAGAAUUUGAGAAGGCAGCUAGGCGCCUAGAGAAUGCUCGACUGGUUUGUGGCCUAUCUUUUAAUUUCUUCAGAUUCGGGACAAAUUGUCUUGGAGUGAACUGAUGUGUUGCCUUUUCCUUUUUUUUUAGCUUGAAUGAUCUAUUUGCUACAGUUAGGAGUGAACGUCGUAAUGAAUUUUAAAUUAUACUGUUUGUUUCGAUUUACUUUUCUAUCUUAGCUCCAUCAAGUGAUUAGUGGAAUGCUGGUCCUGUGAGUAUAAAAUGAAACUCCUUAAGUUAAAUUCCUUAGGCUGUGUUUAUUUUCUGUAGUGGGAGCGAGGAGUGUAAAUUCUUUUCAUUUCAGUAUUUAUUUCAACAAAUUGGCUCCGGAUUGAGAAUCCCACUCAGUAGACCCCACCCAUUUUUGGAGUGAGAUUCCCAUGGGGAGAGGUGGGAGUGAGAUUCCCACUCCCACCUCUCCCUUUUUUUACAUUUUUUUUAAUUUAAUUUAAUUUAACUUAAUUUAAUAUUUAAUAAAAUAAAAUAAAUAAUAUCAUAUUUAUUUGAAUAAUAUUAUUAUAUUUAUUUUAAAAAUAAUAAUACUAUAUUUAUUUAAUAUUAAUAAUUAAUAAUAAUAAAUAGUUUAUUCUAAGAAAAUAUUAAUUUUGUCCUAAAUAAUAUUAUAUUAUUAUUUUAUAUAAUAAUAAAUUUAAUAUAAUUAUAUUAAAUAAAAUAAAAUAAUGUUUCAUUUUAUAUUUACCCUUCUUUUUUACCCUCUUUUUAUUAAAUUUACUAUAAUUAUAUUUAAUAAAUAUUUAAAUAAUAUUAUAUUUAUUUAAAUAAUAUUAAUAUAUUUAACUAAAUAAUAAUUUGGUUUGAUUCUAAGUCUAAAUUACUUAAAAAUAAUAUUAUUAUAUUAAUACAGAAUUAAUAAUAUUACUUUUAUACCAUCUUUAUUUGAAAAUAUAUUAUUAUUAUUAUUAUAUUUAUUUAAAAAUAUUAGUAUUAUAUUUAUUUAAUAUUAAUAAUUAAUACUAAUAAAUAGUUUAUUCUAAGAAAAUAUUAAUUUCAUACUAUGUUAAUAGUAAAAUAUUUCAUUUAUAUUGCCCUUAUCAAUAAUUUUUAAUUUAUAUAAUUAAAAUUAAAAUUAAUAAAAAAAUGUGAUGUUCAUAAUUAAGAAUAUUAAUAAUUAUUAUAAAUUUACAAAUAUAAAUGUUUAUUCAUUAAAUAUAUUUUUUAUUAACUUUGUAAUUAAAAACUAUAAUUCUUUAAAUAAGGAUAAAAUUGUAAUUUGAAACUAUUUACUCCCAAUCCGAGACAAACUAAACACAUAAAUUGAAUUCUGAUCUCCAUUCCAUGCUUUCAUUUUAGUGUAAGUAAACAACAUACUCCCACUCCCAAUCCUAAGAUUCCCACUCCAAUUCAAAAAGUAAACGCUACCUAAAUACAAGUAAUCUUGCUUUCAGAUAUGAAUUAUCUGAUGGAUGUUGUAUUUUCAAGGUAUUGAGGAGAUUCCCCAAUAUUGAAAAAUUGCGUUCCCGUGCAUCAAAAGAUGAUCCCAUAGAAUUGCGUUCACCUGUGACAAAAGAGGAGCUUGUAGUUGAGGUAUGGAUUUUUAUAUUUCUUGGUUGUUUUUAUACUUGUUUCUCAUCAUAAUAGCAAAAGCAGUUUGUUCUGAGUGAUCUGUGUGGUCUCCUAUCAAUGACUGCCGUUUCUAUCAUUUAGUACUAUUGACUAUGUGUGUAUAAAUAUUUUGUUUUUACCAUGUAAUUUCAUAUUCGAUGCAUUUCUAAUACAUUGCAUAGCGUCCAUGAAUGGGAAUGAUAAAAUAAAUUUCAAGCGUGUUUCAAUAGAUGAAAAAACUUGGAACGAUUUAGAAGGAUUUGCUGAUUAAAUAAUUUUCCAAUUUGUUUGCUUGGAGGAAUUGAAUAGUUAACUGAUUAAAGGAUUUCAAGGUGGUUCGGUCCCGCUGGGCAUUGUCAAUAUCAACGGUCAUUAAUUCCUAUUAUCUGAAAUUGAAUUUCCAGUGUGGCAUGGUAACUUUCUGCUAGGGUGUGAUUGUAUAGUAGCCAAUUGUGAGCAACAGAUCCGCAUAGUAAUAUAGAUUGAAAUUUUGCAUCUUAAUCCAUGAAGAUAUAGAUUUUGGCAAUAUUAUACAAGCACUGGGGAUUACCUUAAAUAUUCUGGACUUGUCAUUGAUAGAGUUUCUUUUACCUAGUUAUUGAUAUUUCUUUCAAUUUUCUAUUUUACUCAUACAAUUUAUACAAUUUUAGGUGGCAAGACAACUUUCGUUUUCUAUUGAGCCUGAAAACCUGCAUCUACCAUCACCUCUAUCUGCUUUUCGAGAAUAUGAGGUUCCUAUGCGCUUACCCAAAGCCAUCCCCCUACCGGAAGGAAAGGUCCAAUGGAUUCUCAAUGUUAAAGUCCGCGGCAAAUAAAUAUUUUUUAGUUAAUUUUUUAAUCAAUAAAAAAAGGUAAUUAAAAAUGUAAUUAAUAAAUUACUUAUUAGCAAAUUAAAAAACAAAUAUUAGCAUAAAAUAAUUGAUAUUUCAUUCUCUUACAACAAUCUUACCAAUUAUUAUUUAUAAAUUAAUUAAUGCAAGUUAAUUUAAAGUAAUGUUUAAUAUUCUUGUAACAACCUUACUAAUAAUUUUUUGAUAAAAAAAUUAAUUUAUUAAAUUAAUCCUAGAAGUAAAAUAAUAAUAAUUAAUUUGUAUUUUAUUUUUAAGAUUAAUUUGAUAAAUUUAAUUUUUUUUAACUAAUAUCUCCAAGAAUAUAGUUGUAACGAUAUUAUUACAAAAGGAAAAAAAAUAUAAGAUUAUAAUAUAUUUACCAGUAAGAAUAAUUUAAAAUAUUUUUUAAGAUAUAAAAAUUAAACGGACACUUAAUUAAAAAAAAAAAAAAAAAACUAAAUAAGUAGUUAGCUUUUAACAUUUCAACCUAGUGGUCAUACAAUCAUGGUGCGGCCCGGGAUGGCUGGCCCAGCCCAUCAUGUAAAAAUCCAUGUCACCCUCAUUCUUAAGCUGCUACUCUGCCACUUGCCACGGAGCUCCCCACAUCAUACCGUACCGAUGCCUCUAGAAAGCUAACUUUAAAAAAAUGGUAUUAAUAAGCGUACGCCACGUCACUCCUCACUCUCUUCUUCGUCACUUUCCUCUCACUCAACAUUUUCUCCCCAAACAAAUUCCUUCUUUGAAAAAUCGCAUUUUCUCCUUCACAGCAACCGCUACAAUGUCUUCAACUUCCAAGAAGGUAAUUUUUUUAAAUUUUAUUUUUUGUUUAGUUUCUUUCUGUUGCCUUUUUGUUUCGUUUUUUGAAUUUUCUGUGUCGUUUUUUUUUUCCCAAGGUUUUGGUGCCUGUUGCGAACGGGAGUGAGCCGAUUGAAGCCGUGAUAACGAUCGAUGUUUUGAGAAGGUCUGGAGCUGACGUCACGGUUGCGUCUGUGGAUAAACAGCUUCGUGUCGACGCGUGUCAUGGUGUCAAGAUUGUCGCUGAUGCUCUCGUGUCUGACUGCCGCGACGCUGUUUCUGAUCUUAUAGCUCUGCCCGUAUGUAUUGCAGCUCACCUCAGCUCAUGCUAAUUUAUGUGAUGUUUGUAUAAUUAUAGAUGAUUACUGCUGAUACUGAAUGUUAAAGCUAAAUAAUUCGUUCUUAAGUCAUCUUCAUUUAAUUUUCGAUUGAAAAUGAAAAAAAAAAUAAUUUUAAGCAAAGAAAAUGUUUAUUUUGUUUUAUUUUUAUUUUUAAAUUUUUGGGAUUUCCUUAUUGUGACUGUUGUCAUUCAUUAUAUGGUCCUAGUUAAAUGUUUCAAGUUGUUGUAGUCUGUGAAACUCUUUUCGAUAUUUGUUCUGGCAUGUACAUUUUUCCUUUCAAUUUAUUUUGUUGCUGAUACUUUGAUUAUGAUAUAUCCUUUUUUGUUUCCCUUGUAGGGUGGCAUGCCCGGUGCUACCAAUCUGAAAGAAUCUGAAGUAUUAGAAACCAUUGUGAAGAAGCAGGCUUCAGCUGGGCGUCUUUAUGCUGCUGUCUGUGCUUCACCUGCUGUGGCAUUAGGGUCUUGGGGUCUGUUGAAGGGAUUGAAGGUAAGAAUUAGAUAAGCCUUUUUUUAUGUUUGGUGUUCUUUUGGGAAUUGCAUUGAUAUUUGUGUUAUACAUCAGUUUUGCUCUCACCGAUGAUUGUUAAGUUCUAAUUUAUGGGGUUAUUCAUUUUUUGUAGGCUACUUGUUACCCGUCAUUUAUGGAGCAAUUAGCUCCUGCUUGUGCAGCAACUGUUGAAUCAAGAGUACAGCAGGAUGGUAAAGUUGUUACGAGUCGUGGACCUGGCACUACUAUGGAGUUUGCCAUUGCACUUGUCGAGCAGUUGUAUGGGAAAGAGAGAGCUGAUGAAGUUUCUGGGCCACUGGUAGUAACUUUUAUAGAUAAUGUUGUUUAAAAAAAUUGUGAGUUAUAUAAUUUGUGGAAAUUCAUUCUAAUAGGUUCAUCUAGUAUGUCAAAUUGGAAGGUUCAGAUGCUAAUAUAUUCCAAAAAAUUUGUUCAGGGGAAAAGUAUGACUUUUUGCAUUAGAGAUUCAUUAGAUGAAGUUGUAUACCUGCUGGCCCAUCUUAAUGUGGUGAAAACGAUGUCUGAUGAGACUGAUAUAAUUAUUGGAAUCUUGAUAAAUGCAUUUGUUGAGCUUGAAUGUCUCCACUGAUCACGUUCUUUUUAAUGUAAGUUCUUUCUCUUGGUAUUUGUCUUUGAAUCUUCUCUUCCUCAUGCUUUCGUCUUCACUGUCACCUUGUGCCUAGGUAAUGCGUGCAAAUCAUGGAGAUGAAUACACUAUUGCUGAAUUCAAUCCAAUUCAGUGGACAUUUGACAAUUCUCCCCAAGUAAGAUUUGACUUCUAGUUUCUUGUAGUUGUUUUUCUUCAUCCGAUGUUUUCAGGGAUACCCAUUUGGCAGUAUAUAAAAGUCUGUGAUAUCUUCUAUACAUAUACAUCAUUGGCUUCAGUCAUUUUCGAACAUAUUGGAGGUAGUAGAUGUAUUUUUAUGAUAUCUCUAAUAAAAUCCCAAGUUUGAUCAAUUACAAAAGAAGUAUGAGCGGUGCUGGACCGGGGGGGAAGAAGAAGUGGGGGGUCGGUGUGGUGGGGGUGUGCAGUGCAUGAAUAAAAGGAAAUGAUAGGGGGUGAAAGUUUGUGCUACCGACAUGCUGUAAAAUGGGGACAUAAUAUUUCAAAUUAGAUAUUGUGUGAUCCUUAAUAUUGCUGACUUUUGCUUAAAAUGGAAUUCUUGAUAACUUCAAAUGUUAAAGUUCUUGGUGAAAUUUUGUACUUUCUUUUCUUUCAGAUUCUUGUGCCUAUUGCAAAUGGUUCAGAGGAGAUGGAAGCUGUUAUGAUAAUUGAUAUUCUGCGACGAGCUAAAGCAAAUGUUGUAGUUGCAUCAGUUGAGGAUAAACCAGAAAUUCUGGCUUCUCGUCAAAUUAAAUUAGUGGCAGAUGUGCUCAUUGAUGAGGCGGCUAAACUCUCGUAUGAUUUAAUUGUCUUGCCAGUGAGUUGGGGUGCUUACUGUUGCUUCAUAGUCUUUACCACAUAAUUGACUUACUAACUACAAUUUAUCCAUGCACAUUGCAUAGGGUGGACUUGGUGGCGCUCAAGCAUUUGCGAAGUCAGAGAAAUUGGUGAAUAUGCUAAAGAAGCAAAAGGAAUCAAAUAGACCUUACGGUGCUAUAUGUGCAUCCCCAGCUUUAGUGUUGGAGCCCCAUGGCUUACUCAAGGUACGACCAUUUCUGCUUAAAUUAUUUACUCAGAUUUGGAUCACCUAAUCUGAACUUGAUGAAGGAUUAUGAUGUUGUGUGAUUUUAUGAAUGUGGUCUUAUCUCAUGUAAGUCGGUGAUGAAUUAAUUGAAGUUUGCUGACAAAUUAGAAACUGAAAAACUGCUGCUGCUUCGUUAGUUACAUUACCCAAAGAGUUAAAAUAAACAUCCCAAAUUUUUUGUCCCAAAUUCUGUCCCAAAUGAUAUGGCAUUUAUUGAGUGAUUGUAUUAUCUAACCAACCAAUUGAUGAAUGACACAUCAUUUGAGAUGGUUUUUUGGGAUAAAGAAUUUGGGAUUUUUACCCGCAAAAAUCCCAAGUACUUCCUGCUCCUGCAAUAUCAUUGCUGUGUAUUUGUUUUCCCCUUAGACAUAUUCAAUUGUGGUUCAGGGUAAAAAAGCUACAGCUUUUCCUGUUAUGUGCAACAAGCUGUCAGAUCAGAGUGAAAUCGAAAACAGGGUUGUGGUUGAUGGCAACCUCAUCACCAGUAGAGGGCCAGGAACUUCUAUGGAGUUUGCACUGGCAAUUGUGGAGAAGUUUUUUGGCCGCAACAAGGCACUUGAGCUUGCAAAGAUAAUGCUUUUCACUCGCACCUAACAUUUGUACGGGGACCUGACUACUAUUAAACUAGUGUGUUUAUUUCUGUAUUGCUACUGCUUGUAGAGAGGGGAAAUGGAAACUUGAAUUCAUGUUUGAAUAUGGAUUCACUGUGUGGGUUUGUACAGCAGUUUGAUUUAUAAAUAAAUGAGUUCAAAGAGUUACUUCAAAUAUUCGGAAUAAACCUGAGUUUAGUUCUGUUAUCAAUGGUCGGAGUCCAAUUGCGAUCGACACACUGGGAAUUUUAAUUAUGAACUAAAAAAUUGUUAUGUUAUAUUCCACCUUUCUCAUAAAAUGUUAACUCGAUUUACAGGAUAAGAAGGAAAAGAAAGACGCUAAGAGAGGAGCAGAGACCCAAAAAGAGUUGACCACUUUGUUGGAACAUAAACCUCUAGAAUAUUGAAAUAAAACACAUACCAUAUCUAGUAUUAAGUAUGUAUAUGCAAGAAGAUACAAAUUUGAAGAUCAGAUUUCUCAUUUCAAUUUAUGUUCUGCUUAGAGCAAUGGCUCUUAUUCCACAAGCACAAACAGGAAAGAGUACGCACGAAGUUAAGAAACACACAUUGCAAAAGUUGCAUUAACUACUUGCAGCAGCAUCAUCCAAGAACUUGACUUUAAUCUUCUUGAGCUUCGCUGCGGCAUCUGUCAUAUGCAUUCUCUUGUCAGGUGACUCUAUACAACAAUCCAAAGCCAAAUCCAUGAUGCUUAAUAAACAAUCCAUUUUGGCAGAAAAAGCUUGCUCUUCUCGCACCAAAUUUGCGUCAACAACUUCAGUCAAUCCGUGAGGUAAAGACUCCUUUACCCAUCUCCUUAAACUCAUUUCUCCUGCGAACAUUUCAUCGGUGGGCCUCUUUCUCGUGAAGGUUUCCAUCAAUAAAACACCAUAGCUGUAGACAUCACAUUUAGCUGAAACAAUUCCUUCUGAUCCAUACUCUGCAUUUUUUAAUUUUAAUUAUGAAACAAAUGAUAAAACAAAUAAUUUUUUGAUAAUUAAGGUAACCCAAACUUUGCUCGUGCUUGAAAAAAGAGUAAAAAUUUUAAUUACAAUUGAAACUUUACCUGGUGCCAUAUAACCAAUUGUAGCCAUUGUCAUGGUUUGUGUCACAGAAUCUUCUCCUUCACCUAAGAGUUUGGAAAUGCCGAAGUCGCUCACAUGUGCCACCAUAUUUUCAUCCAAGAGAAUGUUGGUGGGCUUCAAAUCACAAUGAAUUAUAGGUGCCGACGAAUGACCAUGAUGGAGAUAUUCAAGGGCCGACCCCACAUCUAUCAUUAUGUUCAACCUCUCUAGGAUGUCUAAGAAAUAGUUGUGAGAAUAUAACCACUUCUCGAGACUACCAUUUGGCAUGAACUCAAGUACCAAUGCUUUAAAAUCUUGAUUAGAACAACUGCUAAGGAUCUUUAUGAGAUUUCGAUGACGAACAUUCAGUAAAACUUCACAUUCAGAAUCAAAACUCCUAAAUGCUCUCUCUAGUUGCAGAUUGAAAACCUUUAUCGCAACAUCAGUCCCGUCGGAAAUGGUUCCUUUAUAAACUGAUCCAAAGCUACCUGUACCAAGCAAGUUACAUUCAUUAAAUUCAUCAGUUGCUCGUUGAAUGUCUAGGUAGGAUGUUCUUCUCCAUGUUGCAAGAGGUAGGAAAUCUUCGUGAUCUGAUUUUUUUGUACUCCUCUUUCGGCAUCUUAUGUACAUAAUGAUGAUAAUCACUAUAAGUACAGAGGAUACUAUCGGAGGCAAAAUAUAUUUAAGGACAAUUAGAGCAACGUUUUUGGUGCUUUUGCUGUCACCUUGUUUGCAAGGUGGGACUCGGAAUUUAGGUGGACCACAGAGUGCAUAAUUUCCGAAAAAUGAUUCAGCUGACAAGUUUUUAAAAGACCCCUUAACAGGAAUUUCCCCUUCUAGCCUAUUAUGAGACACAUUAAAUUGUUUGAGAUGUGAAAGUGUCUCCAAUGACUUAGGAAUUUUUCCAGAGAGAUUGUUGCCAGAGAGAUCUAAGGAUUCUAAGCUUAUCAAACUACCAACUGAUUCAGGAAUAGGUCCUUGAAAUUGAUUACUAGCCAAUGAUAGAGUUUCUAUAUCUUUGAGGGCACCGAUGGUUGAUGGAAUAUCACCUGAUAAUUGAUUCCUUGAUAAAUCUAAAACUCUCAAGACCUUUAACUUUUGUACAUUGGAAGGGAGAGAAUCAUUUAACGAAUUUGACGACAAGUUUAUCUCUAAGAUGUACUCAAGGCUCCACAAGGAUGACGGUAUACUAGAAGUGAGCUUGUUGGAGCCUAAGUGGAGUUCUCUUAGAGAUGUCAGACUCGCCAAGCAUGGUGGUAUAUGUCCAGAGAGCUUAUUUCCAUUUAACAUUAUUCCGUACAUCAACUCCAAGUGGCAAAGAUCAUAGGGAAUGGAUCCUUCCAAAUUAUUUUCUUCAAGAGAUAAACCUUGUAGCCGCUUAAGUCUUCCCAUCGUUGGUGAAAUAGUUCCAUUCAAGUCAUUGAAGCCGAGGCUUAAGAGGAUCAGGCCACGCAACUUACCAAUUUCUUUAGGAAUGCUGCCCCCGAGUUUGCAGUUGGAUGCAUAAAAUUGUCGAAGAGAAGCAGAGAAAUUUCCAAUUACUGGUGGAAGGAUGCCACCCAAUGGAUUAUAAGCUAAGGCUAAAACUGUUAAAUUUCUGCAAUUAGUCAGAGAAGAGAGAAAACUCCACUGAUCUGCUGAAGAUGAUUCUGUCGUCAAGUUAUUAAAUGCUAAGCCAAGCACGCCGAGGUGUCUCAAGUUGCCAAAUGUAUUUGGAAUAUGGCCUGAGAAUGAGUUAAAGCUCAAUUCUAGGCCAAUGAGUUUAGAAGCGUUUGUGAUGGAGUUGGGAAUUUUUCCGGUAAGGUUAUUGGCCGCCAAGGUUAAAUACUCUAUGCUCGGAAGCGAGUGGCCAAUCGUUGAUGGUAAGUGGCCUGAAAGUUGAUUGCUAAUUAGAUUAAGGACUGUUAGGGUUGAAAUGUUGAAGAUUGUGGGUGGAAUGGGGCCACUUAAAUUAUUCGCACUAAGAACAAGGGUAUCCAAAUUUUGUAGAUUGCCAAUCUCAGUUGGAAUUUGACCUGUCAUAAAGAUAAACGCCAAAUUGAUGAGUUAUUGAGCUUUUUACUUAACAUAAAUUUUAAUUUCAUAACGCAUGAAAAUCAAAUUUGCCCACAAAAUGUGUGUUAUUAGUUUUAUAAUUUUUUUUUGGGUUUUUUUUGGGGGGGGGGGGGGGGAGAUUGAUAUUGCUACCUCAUAAUUUUUGUAAAACCCCACCCGCUUUCAGAGAAUUAUUGGAACAAGAUUCUUAAAAAAAUUCAAAUAAAGAAGAAGUUUGGAGAAAUAAUCAAUUAAAUCCAUCUUAAUAUACUUUUUGAAACUUAUAUUCUUUUAUCAUAUAUAAUAACUAAGGUUGCUUUAACAUAAAUUUAAUAUAACUAGUCUACUCUCAUAAGGUAGAAUUACUAAAAUACCCACAAAUUUACUUCAACUUCAACUAAACUAACAAAAUGUAUUUGUUGACAUGUGGGGAACUAAAAAUUAUUGAAUUUUAUUUUAGAAAUAUUGUAUUACAAAACAUAAAACAAAAUGCCGAAACUAUAUAUUAGAUACAAUAGUACAUGUUUUUCGGGGUAAUUUGGUCAUUUUAUAUUAUAAGAGUAAAAUAGUCAAAUUAAACUUAUUUUAAAGCAACCGUAAACGGUCAAAGAUUGUUAAAAGCCCUAAGUCAUAAAAGAAAAACAUUAUAAAAAUAAUUUAUUAAUUGUUCAGACUUAAUUUAUAAUUUUAUAACAUAAUGUGAACUUAUUAUAACUAUCUUUUCAAAAUGAGGUGGGUUUGCAAGAAUAAUGAGUGGAAAUAUCCCCACCCUAUAAAAUAAAAAGAAUUUUGCAGCUAUGCAAAUGCAAAUAUGUAGAACGUACCUUGUAGGUUGUUAUAACCUAGAUUCAGAAUGAAAAGGCUGCUAAAAUUUCCUAUCCCUGAAGGAAUAUUUCCAUCAAUAACGUUGUAGAUUGCGUCGAACACCUCCAGCUUCGAUAAAUUGAGGAGAGAAUUUGGGAUUGGACCCGUGAAACUGUUAUUAUAAAGCCUCAACGUUUGUAAUUUGGAUAAGACACCAAUCCAUGUUGGAAUGCUUCCACUCAAUUUAUUGAAACCGAAUCUAAUGAAUCUGAGUCGGCGUAAUUGCCCCAAUUCAUUAGGCAGAUGGCCAUGAAAAUUAUUAUGAGCAACAUCAAGAGAUACUAAGAACGUGAGAUUUCCCAAGUGUAGUGGAAUGGUGCCUCCGAGACCCAUAUCUGAAAGAUUCAAGGCAGUGACUCUUUGAUGGCGUGAACCACAAGAGAUACCAACCCAGCUACAUAUUGGAUAAGAUAUAGACCAAUUAUUUGUCAGAUCACUUCGAUAAUCAACGACACGGGCUUUGAAUGCAAGAAGAGCCGAUUGAUCUGUUGUUAAGUUGCUCAAAGUCGUCAUAGCUAAGCUAGCUAUGGAAUAUUGUACCAACAACAUAGGAACAAAGAAGAAUGAUAAGCACAUAUUGGUCGUUUUUUUUUAUAGAUGCAGCAAUCUAAUUGCUAGGUGAAGUUGAUACAAGUUUUAAGUGAAGGAAACUAGCAUAUACUUAUACAAGAGACGUAUGAAUUUGAAAACAAGAAAAGAAAAAAAUGUACAGGAGAGUGGAGACAUGCAAAUUGGUAUAUUUCAUCAUUGAGCGAGUCGUCCAAGUAAACUCAUACAGACCUGUAAAUUGUUAUAGGCCGCGGUACUUGAACCGUGAAUAAAGGGCUUAUGGCACUUGACUUACCAAAAAGAAGAAGAUGCUCAACAUUGGCAAGGCCUAUGCAUUCUGUCCAUUUGUUCACGUUUUGCCAAGGCUCAGGGCAACCACAAUAUGUUCUUUUUCUUCCCUCUUAAAACAAAAAACAAAAAAAAAAGACGACAUUUACAUUUGGGCUAAUAAUUAUAACUAAACAAUUAAUAAUACUGAGGGUCAGUGGUAAUGUAGCUUUAAAAUAAUUGUUAUUAGUUGUGUCUUAAAAAUAAAGAAAAAAAAUAACUAUACCCAUAUAAUUAAUAAAAUAAUCAUGUAAAUUCCUAAGCUUUUAACAAUAUACACCAAGACCCCCUACCGUUACUUUUUACCAUUUAUUUGGAUGUCACAUGCUUUUUUUUUUUAAUUUUCACAGUGGAUAUCAAAUGCUAAAUUUACUGUUAUUCCCAUAUCAUGUCAUCACUUGCUUCUACACACAUUGAUUGUUUUUCCAAAGUUUCAAAUUGAAUUAAAAACAUUCUAAUUAACCUAAAAAAAACUCAUCCAACCAGAUAUAAAUCAUCUAAUUAACCUAAAGAUAGCUACACCCCCAUAUUAAUUCCAAUUAAAUAAAAUUCAUUUUUGUCAUGAUUUUGGAUCUCGAGCAGGGUGGAUAUAUCCAACUAGAUCCGCCCCAUUGGCAUUCCAGUAUAUUCUGUAAUUGGAAGAGUAUGAAUGACUUAAUUUGUAAUUUUAAAUUUGUAACGUUCAAUUCUAAUUUGAGGAUUCAAAUGAAUUUAUGCGAAUCUAAAAGGGGACUGAAGAUUGGCAUGCAUACAUGCAUACAUAUACAUAUAUAUAUAAAUAGAGAGAGAGAGAGAGAGAGAGAGAGAGAGAGGUAAUAUAACAUUCUUCUUGAUGAAGAUUUUUGUGCCAUACGAAUUAAAGAGAGUAUUGUGUCGAUGUUCGAGGCUAGAGCGACAAUUGGUUACAUUGCUUCAGAGGUGUUUAGUAGAAACUUUGGUGAGGCAUCACAUAAUUUAAAUUACUAGAUUUAGCGAGAUAUAUAUAUUUUCCACAUUGGAUUUACAAGCAUUUCGAGCAGUAUAAUGAAUUAAAAUUACUCGGAAUUGUAAACAGCGAGGAAAGUGAAAUUGCUAAGAAGAUGAAUAUUUUGUUGUUUUGUGGUGUACACGGACUCGUCCAUCGGAUAGGUCGCCCAUGAACAGAGGGAUAGAAAUGUUAUUGCCAAGAAGCAGACUGACUAGCAGUGACGCUUUGAAAAGUCCACCGGACAUCGUCUCCUCCAAGACCACCAAUAGAUUCUUCCACCAUUUCAACGUCGUGACGUGGGGAUCGGAAUUGAAUUAUAGGAUGCUUGUAAGUUUCCUUUGUGGAACUUGUGAAUUUGUGAUGGCAAAAGUCAAUGAUGCAUGUAACUAGCUAGCCCGUGUAGACUCCGUUUUACACUUUUUCAAAACCCAAAAGCACGCUAAAUCUUAAUCUUAAAAGAAUUUUUGAUUCAGUGCUGAAUUUUGGGCUUAUCUUUAAGUAAUCUUUUACCACGCAUGCAUUUUUGUCAUUGUGCAGUCAUCGAUUGCUUCUAAAGAUCGUAAUCCUUAAGAAAAAAUUACUUCUCUUGAAAGUGAAAGCAGGGCAGCUAUUGGCGUAUUGCAUUGCAGCUGCUAUGUGUAGUAGUCAAUUCUUGGAAACAACUAGUUUUCUUAAAUUGUAAACGGUCCCCUUUAUGACUGGGAGAUUUUGAACAAAAUUAAUAUGACGAAUUCUUUGCAGGUGUUGUUCCUUGAAGUCUCAUCUUUCACAAUGUUUCUGAAAUAAAGAUAUUACCAUCUCUGAUUUAAUAUUUAUUCUUGAUUUGUACCACCUAAUCUGAACUUGAUGAAAGAAUAAAGAUUAUGAUCUUGCCUGAUUUUAUUAAUGUGGUCUUAUCUCACGUAAGUCAGUAAUGAAUUAAGGAAAAUUAUCAUUCGUAUACCCUAUAAUUGCUCUGUUAUAAAAAAUACUACAACACUUUGAGGGUGUAUCAAUUGUCCACCCUAAGUUAACAAAAUGUAUCUGUCAUCCACCAAACCGUUAUUUGCCGUUUAAAUAGAAUGACACCAGAGGGGUAAUUUUAUCUUUUCAUAUGAUACAAGUGAUAAUUUAAGGGUAUACAAGUGAUAAUAAAAGAAUUUAAAGGUAUACAAGUGAUAAUUUUAUUUACUUUAAUUUAAGUUUCAAGGGUAAAAUCGUCAAUUCACUAUAAUUCCGUUAACUUUCAAACGGUAGCUAACGGUUUGGUGGUCGGCAGAUAGCUUUUGUUAAUUUAAGGUGGACGAUUGAUAUACUCUCAAAGUGUUGUAGUAUUUUUGAUAAUAGAGCAACUAUAGGAUAUAUGAUUGAUAAUUUCCCAUGAAUUAAUUAAAGUUUACUGUCAAAUUACAAACACAAAAACUGCUGCUGCUUCAUUAUUCACAAUACCUAAAGUCAGUGCAGAACUUAAUAAGUUUUCCAAAAGUUUUACGCUUUCUUUCCCCCAAAUCCCAAGUACUUACUAGAUAUGUCAUGUUUAUACCCAAAGUCAGUGCAGAACUUACUCGAUAUGUCAUGUUUACACAAGAGUUUGUUUAUAAAUAAAUGAGUUGACAAAUAUUUGCCAAAAAAAACGGUGAGUGAUGUCUAGUUCUAUUUUCACAGUUCAGAGUCCAAUUUUGAUUACUGGAAAUUUUAAUUAUGAAGUUGAACUAAGAAUUUGUUAUAAUAUCUUCAACCUUCCUAUACAGUCAUCUGGAAUAAUAAUAUAUCAAAAACAGUAAUAACUCGAUUUACAGGGUGAGAAAGAAAAGAAAGACGCUACGAGGGAAGCAGAGAUUCAAAGACUUCGCCACUUUGUUGGAGGAACAAUUUCAUAAAUCUCCAGAAUAUUGACAUAAAACACAUAACAUACAUAUCUAGCAUUAAGUAUAUUUAUGUAUGUCCAAAGAUAAAAAUUUGAAGAUUAAAUUUAUCAUUUCAAUUUAUGUUCUGCCCAAAGCAAUGGCUUUUAUUCCACAAGCACAAACAAGAAAGAGUACGCACAAAGUUAACAAACACACAUAGCAAACGUGACAUCAACCACUUGCAGCAGCAUCAUCCAGAAACUUCACUCUAAUCUUCUUGAGCUUUUCAGCGGCGUCUUUCGUAGAUGCCCCCUGUUCUGGUGAUUCCAUGCAACAAUCCAAUGCCGAAUGCAUGAUGCUUAAUAAACAAUUCAUUUUAGGAGAAAAAACUUGCUCUUCUCUCACCAAGUUUGCAUCGACAACAUCACUCAAGGCACGAGGUAAUGACUCCCUUACCCAGUCUCUUAAACUUAUUUCUCCUGUAAACAUUUCAUUUGUGGGAUUCUUUCUGGUGAAAGUUUCCAUCAAUAAAACACCAUAACAAUAGACAUCACCUUUGGCCGAAAUCAUUCCUUCUAAUCCUUACUCUGCAUUUUUUUGGUUUCGAUAGAUCAAAUGGAUGUGACAUCAUAAAACAAAUGAUAAACAAAUAGUCUUUUGACAGUCAAGAUGGCCCAAACUUUGACUGUGCUUCGAAAAGAGCGAAAAUUUGAAAUUAUAAUUGAAACCUUACCUGGUGCCAUAUAACCAGUUGUAGCCACUGUCAUGAUUUGGGUCACAGAAUUUUCUUCAUCACCUAAGAGUUCGGAAAUGCCGAACUCACAUGUGCCACCAUAUUUUCAUCCAAGAGAAUGUUGCUAGGCUUCAAAUCACAAUGAAUUACAGGUGCUGAUGAAUGAUCGUGAUGGAGAUAUUCAAGUGCCAGCCGCACAUCUAUCAUUAUAUUCAACCUCUCUAGGAUAUCUAGGAAAUAGUUGUGUGAACACAACCAUUUCUCAAGACUACCAUUGAGCAUGAACUCAAGCACCAGUACUUUAGAAUCUGGAUUGCAACAGCUGCUAGUGAUCUUUGUGAGAUCUUGAUGACGAACAUUCCACAAUACUUCACAUUCAGAAUCAAAACUCCUAAAGGCUCUCUCUAGCUGCAGAUUGAAAACCUUUAUUACAAUAAUAGUCACAUCAUAAAGUGUGCCUUUAUAAACAGAUCCGAAGCUCUCCAUACCUAGCAGGAUACAUUCACUAAAUCCAUCAGCUGCUCGUUGAAUAUCAUGAUAGGAUAGUCUUCUCCAUGUUGUCGAAGAGAACAAAUCUUCUUUAUCUGGAGUUCUUGUUUUCCUAUUUUGAAAUAUUAUGAAGAAUCAUAACAAUUGUUAUUAGUGCAUUGGAUAUAAUCGAAGGCAAAGUAUAUUUCAGGACAAGCAGAGUAGCAUUCUUGGAUCCUUUGCUAUUAUCUUCUUUGCAAGGUGGGACUUGAAGGCCUGGUGGACCACAUAGUGCAUAAUUCUCAAAAAACGAUUGAGCUGAAAUGUUUUUAAAAGGUCCUUUGAUAGGAAUUCCCCCUUCUAGCCUAUUGUGAGACACAUUAAGUUGUUUGAGAUAUGAGAGUGCCUCCAUUGACUUUGGAAUUUCUCCAGAGAGAUUGUUGCUAGGGAGAUCCAAAGAUUCCAACCUUAUCAAACUACCAAAUGAUUUAGGGACCAGACCAUAAAAUUGGUUUCUAGCCAAGGACAAAGUUGCUAGAUCUUUGAGGCCACCAAUACUUACUGGUAUAUCACCUGAUAAUUGAUUUCUUGAUAAAUCAACUCUAUUAAGACCUUUAAGUUUUGUACAUCUGAAGAUAGAUGACCACUUAGAGAAUUUGUUGACAAGUUUACAUACAAGAUGUACUCAAGAUUCCACAAGGAUGAUGGGAUACUAGAAGUGAGCGUGUUGCAGCUUACAAAGAGUGUUUUUAAGGAAUUGAAUAUCUGAAAUCUUGUAUGUAAAUAUUAACACUUAGAGAAUUUGUUGACAAGUUUUUAAGGAUUUACUGAUUAAAUAAUUUUCCAAUUUGUUUGCCUGGAGGAAUUGAAUAGUUAACUGAUUAAAGGAUUUCAAGGUGGUUAGGUCCAGCCGAGCAUUGUAAAUAUUAACGGUCAUUAUGAAUGUGUAAUUCCUAUAUGUGAAAUUGAAUUUCCAUGGUAAAUUUCUGCUAGGGUGUGAUUGUAUGGUAGCCAAUUGUGAGCAACAGAUCCACAUAGUAAUAUAGACUGAAAUUUUGCGUCUUAAGCCAUGAAGAUAUAGAUUUUGGCAAAUAUUAUACAAGCAUUGUUUGCAACACCACAGCUAAUUUGCAGUAGGAUGAAACACUCAGAAUUUUGCCUUUUUCAUGUAUAAAAUUUUAUUUUUUUAAUUGUGAUAUUACAGUUUUGCCCAUCAAGCAUUAUGAAGCUUAAUAUUUGGAUAAAUGUUAGGUUUAAUCUAUAAAUUUUAACUUCAGUGUUUAUUUAGUUUUUAUAUUUUGUAAAAUAUCUCAAGGCAGCCCUAUUAUCAAAUAUUGGCUUGAUCCGUAUAUAUUAACUUCAGUGCUUUAUUUAGGUUUUAUAUUUUGAAAAAUACUUUAAGGCAGUUCUAUUAUCAAAUAUGUUAUGCUCUUGCUUUUAUUUUUUCUUUGUUUUUAUAAUAAUACUCUGAUAACAAUAUUUUUUUACAUUAAUUUUUUAAUCAAUAAAAAGGUAACUAGCAAAUUAACUGAUAAAUUAAUUUGUUAAUUUUUUUAAUCAAUAAAAAAUUUAAUUAAUAAAUUACUUGGUAGCAAAUUAAAAAAUAAAUAUUAGCAUAAAACAAUUGAUAUUUUUCAUUCUCUUACAACAAUCUUACUAAUAAUUUUUUUAUAAAAAAUUAAUUUAUUAAAUUAAUCCUUAAAAGUAAAAUAAUAAUAAUUAAUUUGUAUCUUAGUUUUAAAGUUAAUUUGAUAAAUUCAAUUUUUUAAUUAAUAUCUCCAAAAAUAUAGUUGCAACGAUAUUAUUGCAAAAGUAAAAAAAAAAAUAUAUAUAGAAUUUUAAUAUAACUGCCAGUAAAAAUAACUUGAAAUAUUUUUUAAGAUAUAAAAAUUAAACCAACACUUAAUUAAAAAUAUAAAGAAUUAAAUAAACAUUUAUCUUCUAACAUUUCAACCUACUGGCUAAUGGUCAUACAAUCGUGGUGUGGUCCGGGAUGCCCGGCCCAGCCCAUCAUGCAAAAAGCCAUGUCACCCAUAUUCUUAGGCUGCUACUGCAUUAAAAAAAUGAUAUUAAUAAGCGUACGCCACGUCACUCCUCACUCUCUUCUUCGUCACUUUCCUCUCACUCAACAUUUUCUCCCCAAACAAAUUCCUUCUUUGAAAAAUCGCAUUUUCUCCUUCACAGCAACAGCUACAAUGUCUUCAACUUCCAAAAAGGUGAUUUUUUUUUAAUUUUAUUUUUUGUUUAGUUUCUUUCUGUUGCCUUUUUGUUUCGUUUUUUGAAUUUUCUGUGUCGUUUUUUUCCCCCAAGGUUUUGGUGCCUGUUGCGAACGGGAGUGAGCCGAUUGAGUCCGUGAUAACGAUCGAUGUUUUGAGAAGGUCUGGAGCUGACGUCACGGUUGCGUCUGUGGAGAAACAGCUCCGUGUCGACGCGUGUCAUGGUGUCAAGAUUGUCGCUGAUGCUCUCGUGUCUGACUGCCGCGACGCCGUUUUUGAUCUUAUAGCUCUUCCCGUAUGUAUUGCAGCUCUCCUCAGCUCGUGCUAAUUUAUGUGAUGUUUGUAUAAUUAUAGAUGAUUACUGCUGAUACUGAAUGUUAAGCUAAAUAAUUCGUUCUUAAGUCAUCUUCAUUUAAUUUUCGAUUGAAAAUGAAAAAAAUAAUAAUUUUAAGCAAAGAAAAAUAUAGAAAAUGUUUAUUUUGUUUAAUUUUCAAUUUUUAAUUUUCAGGGAUUUCAUUAUUGUGACUGUUAUCAUUCAUUAUAUGGUCAUAGUUAAAUGUUUCAAAUUGUUGUAGUCAGUGAAAUUCUUUUCGAUAUUUAUUCUGGCAUGUAUAUUUUUCCUUUUCAAUUUCUUUUGUUGCUGAUUCUUUGAUUAUGUUAUAUCCUUUUUUGUUUCCCUUGUAGGGUGGCAUGCCCGGUGCUACCAAUCUGAAGGAAUCUGAAGUAUUAGAAAGCAUUGUGAAGAAGCAGGCCUCAGCUGGGCGUCUUUAUGCUGCUGUCUGUGCUUCACCUGCUGUGGCAUUAGGGUCUUGGGGUCUGUUGAAGGGAUUGAAGGUAAGAGUUAGAUAAGCCUUUUUGAUGUUUUGUGGUCUUUUGGGAAUUGCACUGAUAUUUUUGUUAUGGUUCAGUUUUCUUCUCGCUGAUGAUUGUUAAGUUCUAAUUUAUGUAGUUGUUCAUUUUUCCUAGGCUACUUGUUAUCCGUCAUUUAUGGAGCAACUAGCUCCUGCUUGUGCAGCAUGUUGAAUCAAGAGUACAGCAGGAUGGUAAAGUUGUUACGAGUCGUGGACCGGGCACUACCAUGGAGUUUGCCGUUGCACUUGUUGAGCAGUUGUAUGGGAAAGAGAAAGCUGAUGAAGUUUCUGGGCCACUGGUAUUAGCUUUUAUAGAUAACGUUGUUUAAAAAAAUUAUGAGUUAUAUAAUUUGUGGAAGCUUCAGAUGCUAAUGUAUUCAAGAAAAUAAGUUCAGGGGAAGAGUAUGACUUUUUGCAUUAGUGAUUCAUUAGAUGAAAUUGUAUACCUGCUGGUCCAUCAUAAGGUGGUGAAAACAAUGUUUGAUUUAAUUAAUGAAAUCCUGAAAUAUGCAUUUGUUGAGCUUCAAUGUCUCCACUGAUAAAAUUCUUUUUAAUGUAAGUUCUUUCUCUUGGUAUUGUAUUUGAAUUUUCUGUUCCUCAUGCUUUCGUCUUUACUGUCACCUUGUGCCUAGGUAAUGCGUGCAAAUCAUGGAGAUGAAUACACUAUUGCUGAGUUCAAUCCAAUUCAGUGGACAUUUGACAAUUCUCCUCAGGUGAGAUUGGACUGUUAGUUUCUUGUAUUUGUUUUUCUUCUUCCAUGUUUUGAGGGAUACCCAUUUGGCAGUAAAUAAAAAUCUGUGAUAUCUUCUAUACAUGUACAUAUACAUCAUUGACUUCACUCAUUUGUGAACAUAUUGGAGGUAGUAGAUUUAUUGUUAUGAUAUGUCUAAUAAAAUCCAAAGUUCGAUGCAACUACAAAAGAAGUAUGAGCAGUGCUCGACCAGAGAGGAAAAAGGUGGUUUUUUUCUUUUUUUUUUUUGGGGGGGGGGGGGGGGUUGGUUGGGUGGCAAAGGGAAUGAUAAGUUCAGGGUAUCAACAAGCUGUAAAAUGGCUAUCGAAAAACUGAUAUUUCACAUUAGAGAAUGUGAGGACCUGAAGAUUGCUGACUUGUGGUCAAAAUGGAAUUCUUGAUAACUUUAAAUGUUAAAAAUUCUUGGUGAAAAUUUUGUACUUUUUUUUCUUUCAGAUUCUUGUGCCUAUUGCGAAUGGUUCAGAGGAGAUGGAAGCUGUUAUAAUAAUUGAUAUUCUGCGACGAGCUAAAGCAAAUGUUGUGGUUGCGUCAGUUGAGGAUAAACUAGAAAUUCUGGCUUCUCGUCAAGUUAAAUUAGUGGCAGAUAUGCUUAUUGAUGAGGCAGCUAAACUUUCGUAUGAUUUGAUUGUCUUGCCAGUAAGUGGGGUUGCUAACUCUUGCCUCAUAGUCUUUACCAAAUUAUUGACUUACUAGCUACAAUUUAUCUAUGCACAGGGUGGACUUGGUGGUGCUCAAGCAUUUGCGAAGUCAGAAAAAUUGGUAAAUAUGCUAAAGAAGCAAAAGGAAUCAAAUAGACCUUACGGUGCUAUAUGUGCAUCCCCAGCACUAGUGUUGGAGCCCCAUGGCUUACUCAAGGUAUGACCAUUUCUGCUUAAAUAUUUAUUCUUGAUUUGAAUCACCUAAUCUGAACUUGAUAAAACAUUGUGAUCUUGUGUGAUUUUAUGAACGUGGUCUUAUCUCAUGUAAGUCUGUAAUGAAUUUAUUGAAGUUUGCUGACAAAUUACAAACUCAAAAACUGCUGCUGCUUCAUUAGUUACAGUACCCAAGGAGUUAUGAUAGACAUCCCAAACUUUUUACCCCAAAUUCCCUCUCAAAUGACAUGGUAGUUAUUAAGUGGUUGGUAAUUUUUUAUAAGAUAUAAGUGAAUUAAUUAAUUAUAUUAUUUAAUCAACCAAUUGAUGAAUGUCACGCCAUUUGAGAUGAAUUUUUGGGAUGUGUAGCAAAACUUUAUGCUGAUUUGUUUUGGCUACAUUCAUGUAAAACAUUUUUCCCCAAAUCCCAAGAACUUCCCGCAAUAUCAUUCCUUUGUAUUUGUUUUCCCCUUUAGACAUGUUUAACUUUGGUUCAGGGUAAAAAGGCUACGGCUUUUCCUGCCAUGUGCAACAAGCUAUCAGAUCAAAGUGAAAUCGAAAACAGGGUUGUGGUUGAUGGCAACCUUAUCACCAGCAGAGGGCCAGGAACUUCCAUGGAGUUUGCACUGGCAAUUGUGGAGAAGUUUUUUGGCCGCAACAAAGCACUUGAGCUUGCAAAGAUAUUGCUUUUCACCCGCACCUAAAAUUUGUACCAGGACCCGACUAAUAUUAAACUAGAGUGUUUAUUUCUGUAUUACUACUGCUUGUAGAGAGGCGAAAUGGAAACUUGAAUUCAUGUUUGAAUAGGGAUUCACUGUGCGGGUUUGUACAAGAGCUUGUUUAUAAAUAAAUGAGUUCAUAAAGAGUCAUUUUAAAUAUUUGGAAUAAACGUGAGUUGCUGUUUAGUUCUGUUUUCAAUGUUCACCGUUCAAUUGUGAUCCAGAGCAAUAUAACUACACUCACUGGGAAUUUUAAUUAUGAACCAAGAACGAAGUUGAACCGAGAAUUUGAUACUUUAUAUAUUCCAGUUACCAUAUUUAAGAAAGAGUAUUGAAAAGAAAGACGCUAAGAGAGAAUAUUGAAGUUAAACAGAUACCAUAUCUAGUAUUAAGUCUGUAUGCCAAAGUUACAAAUUCGAAGAUCAGAUUCCUCAUUUCAAUUUAUGUUCUGCUCAAAACAAUGGCUCUUAUUCCACAAGCACAAACAAGAAAGAGUACGAACAAAGUUAACAGAGACACGCAGUGAAAAUUACGCUAAUUGGUUGCAGCAGCAUCAUCCAGGAACUUCACUUUAAUCCUCUUGAGCUUUGCUGCAGCGUCUGUCAUAUUUAUCCUCAUGUCGGGUGACUCCAUACAACAAUCCAAUGCCAAAUCCAUUAUGCUUAAUAUACAAUCCAUUUUGGCAGAAAAAGCUUGCUCUUCUCGCACCAAAUUUGCGUCAACAACUUCACUCAAUCCGUGAGGUAAUGACUCCUUUACCCAUGUCCUUAAACUCGUUUCUCCUGUGAACAUUUCAUCGGUGGGCCUCUUUCUCGUGAAAGUUUCCAUUAAUAAAACACCAUAGCUGUAGACAUCACAUUUAGCUGAAACAAUUCCUUCUGAUCCAUACUCUGCAUUUUUUUUAAUUUCAAUUAUGAAACAAAUGAUAAAACAAAUAAGUUUUUGAUAAUUAAGGUAACCCAAACUUUGCUCGUACUUGAAAAAAGAGUAAAAAUUUUAAUUACAAUUGAAACUUUACCUGGUGCCAUAUAACCAAUUGUAGCCAUUGUCAUGGUUUGUGUCACAGAAUCUUCUUCUUCACCUAAGAGUUUGGAAAUGCCGAAGUCGCUCACAUGUGCCACCAUAUUUUCAUCCAAGAGAAUGUUGGGAGGCUUCAAAUCACAAUGAAUUAUAGGUGCCGACGAAUGACCAUGAUGGAGAUAUUCAAGAGCCGACCCCACAUCUAUCAUUAUAUUCAACCUCUCUAGAAUGUCUAAGAAAUAGUUGUGAGAAUACAACCACUUCUCGAGACUACCAUUUGGCAUGAACUCAAGUACCAAUGCUUUAAAAUCUGGAUUAGAACAACUGCUAAGGAUCUUUAUGAGAUUUCGAUGACGAACAUUCUGUAAAACUUCACAUUCAGAAUCAAAACUCCUAAAUGCUCUCUCUAGUUGCAGAUUGAAAACCUUUAUCGCAACAUCAGUCCCGUCGGAAAUGGUUCCUUUAUAAACUGAUCCAAAGCUACCUGUACCAAGCAAGUUACAUUCAUUAAAUUCAUCAGUUGCUCGUUGAAUGUCUAGGUACGAUGUUCUUCUCCAUGUUGCAAGAGAUAGGAAAUCUUCGUGAUCUGAUUUUCUUGUACUUCUAUUUCGGCAUCUUCUGUACAUAAUGAUGGUAAUCACUAUAAGGACCGUGGAUACUAUCGGAGGCAAAAUAUAUUUAAGGACAAUUAGAGCAACUUUCUUGGUUCUUUUGCUGUUAUCUUGCUUGCAAGGUGGGACUCGAAGUUUAGGUGGACCACAGAGUGCAUAAUUUCCAAAAAAUGAUUCAGCUGACUAGUUUUUAAAAGACCCCUUAACAGGAAUUUCCCCUUCUAGCAUAUUUUGAGACACAUUAAAUUGUUUGAGAUGUGAAAGUGCCUCCAAUGACUUAGGAAUUUUUCCAGAGAAAUUGUUGCCGGAGAGAUCUAAGGAUUCUAAGCUUAUCAAACUGCCAACUGAUUCAGGGAUAGGUCCUUGAAAUUGAUUACUAGCCAAGGAUAGAGUUUCUAGAUCUACGAGGGCACCAAUGGUUGAUGGAAUAUUACCUGAUAAUUGAUUCCUUGAUAAAUCUAAAACUCUCAAGACCUUUAACUUUUGUACAUUGGAAGGGAGAGAAUCAUUUAAUGAAUUUGACGACAAGUUUAUCUCUAAGAUGUACUCAAGGCUCCACAAGGAUGACGGUAUACUAGAAGUGAGCUUGUUGGAGCCUAAGCGGAGUUCUCUUAGAGAUGUCAAACUCGCCAAGCAUGGCGGUAUAUGUCCAGAGAGCUUAUUUCCAUUUAACCUUAUUCCGUACAUCAACUCCAAGUGGCAAAGAUCAUAGGGAAUGGAUCCUUCCAAAUUAUUGUCUUCAAGAGAUAAACCUUGUAGCUGCUGUAAUGUUCCUACAGAUGUUGGAAUAGUUCCGUUCAAGUCAUUGAAGUCGAGGGUUAAGAGGAUCAAGCCACGUAAAUUACCAAUUUCUUUAGGAAUGCUGCCCCCGAGUUUGCACUCGUAAGCAUAAAAGCUUUGAAGAGAAGCAGAGAAAUUUCCAAUUAAUGGUGGAAGGAUGCCACCUAAUGGAUUAGAAUCUAAGACUAAAUAGGAUAGCUUUCUACAAUUAGUCAAAGAAGAGAGAAAACUCCACUGAUCUGCUGAAGAUGAUUCUGUCGUCAAGUUAUUCGUUCGUAUGCUGAGCACGUUGAGGUGCCUCAAGUUGCCAAAUGUAUUUGGUAUAUGGCCUGAGAAUGAGUUAGAGCCCAAGUCUAGACCAAUGAGUUUGGAAGCAUUGGUAAGAGAGUCAGGAAUUGUCCCGAUAAGAUUAUUGAUCGCCAAGGUUAAAUACUCUAUGUUCGGAAGCGAGUGGCCUAUCGUUGAUGGUAGGCGGCCUGAGAAUUGGUUGCUGUGUAGAUUAAGGACUCUUAUGGUUGAAAUAUUGAAGAUCGCGGGUGGAAUGAGGCCACUUAAAUUAUUCGUACCAAGAGCAAGACUCUCCAAAUUUUGUAGAUUGCCAAUCUCGGUUGGAAUUUGAUCUGUCAUAUCGAUUAAACCAACAUUGAUGAGUUAUUGAAUUUUUUGCUAAACAUAAAUUUAAUUUCAAAAUUCAUGAAAAUCAAAAUUUCCCACAAAAUAUGUGUUAUUAGUUUUAUAAUAAUUUAGGGGGUAAUGAUAUUUCUACCCCAUGAUUUUUGUAAAACACACAUGCUUUUAGAAAAUUAUUACCGCAAGAUCACAUUAUUCUUAAAAAUUCAAAUUAAGAAGAAGUUUCUAGAAUUAAUCAAUUAAAUCCAUAUUAAUUUAUAUUUGAAACUUAUAUUCUUUUAUUAUAUUUAAGUACUAAGGUUGUUUUAACAUAAAUUUAAUUGACUAUUUUACCCUCCUAAGGUAAAAGUACUAAAAUCCUCAAAAAUUUACUUCAACUAAACUAACAAAAUGUAUUUAUGACCUAUGGGGCAUUAAAAAUAUUGAAUUUUAUUUUUAAAAUAUUAUAUUACAAAACAUAAAACUAUAUGCUAGAUACUAUAGUACAUGUUUCUUGGGGUAAUAUAGUCAUUUUACAUUAUAAGGAUGAAAUAGUCAAAUUAAACUUAACUUGAAGCACCCGUAAAUGCCAAAAAUUGUUAAAAGACCUAAGUCAUAAAAGAAAAUUAUUAUCAGAAUAAUUUAUUUAGUUAAUUAUCUGACUUAUUGUUAAUUUAUAAUUUUAUAAGCUAUUGUGAACUUAUUGCAAUUAUCUAAUGGAGAUGAGGGGGGGUUUUGCAAGAAUAUGAGCGGCAGUAUUGCCACUCUAUAAAAUAAAAAGAAUUAUGCAGUCAUGCAAAUGCAAAUAUGCUGAACUUACCUUGCAGGUUGUUAUGACGAAGAUCCAAAUCAAAAAGGUUGCUCAAAUUUCCUAUCCCUGAAGGAAUAUUUCCAUCAAUAACGUUGAAACUUGCUUGUAACAUCUCCAAUUUCGAUAAGUUGAAGAGAGAAUUUGGGAUUGGACCCGUGAUAUUGUUAUUACGAAGACUCAUUAUUUGUAAUUUGGAUAAGACACCAAUCCAAGUUGGAAUGCUUCCACUCAAUUUAUUGAAACUGAAACUAAUGAAUUUGAGUCGGCCUAAUUUCCCCAAUUCAUUAGGUAGAUGGCCAUAAAAAUUGUUCAAAGUAACAUCAAGAGACAUUAGGAAUGAGAGAUUUCCCAGGUGUGGGGGAAUAGUGCCUCCGAGACCCAUGCCUGAAAGAUUUAAAGCCUUGACUCUUUGAUGGCGUGAAUCACAAGAAAUACCAACCCAGCUGCAUAUUGGAUGAGAUAUAGACCAAUUAUUUGCUAGGACACUCCGAUAAUCACCGACGUGGGCUUUGAAUGCAAGAAGAGCUGAUUGAUCUGUUAAAUUGUUUAAAGUCGUCGUAGCUAAGUUAGCUAUGGAAUAUUGUAACAACAUAGGAACAAAGAAGAACGAUAGGCGCAUAUUGGUCGUUUUUAAUAGAUACAGCAACAUAAUUGCUAGGUGAGAUUGAAACAAGUUUGAAGUGAAGGAAAUUAGCAUAUACUUAUACAAGAGACAUGAAUUUGAAAACAAGAAAAGAAAAAAUAUACAGGAGACUUGCAAACUGUUAUAUUUUGUCAUUAAGCGAGUCGUCCAAGUAAACGCACGUAUGGACUUGCAAAUUGUUAAACGUCGCUGUACUUGAACCGUAAACAAAGGGUGUGUUUGGUUGGAGGAUUAAAAGUGGGGAUUAGACACUUUUUUUUUUUUUUAAAUUUUAUCCUUAUCUCAUGUUUGGUGCUGUCAAGGGUAUUAGGAUUUAGUUAUCUUGAACUCACAAGCUAAUCUUAAUUUUGUAAAGGAAAUUAUCCCAAGAGGGGUCAUGGGAUUAGUUAGUAUUGGAUUAUAUUGAUAACUCAAUUAAACAUAAUAAUUUAUAAAUAUUAAAAUUAUAGUAAUAUGUGAUAAAUGUAAUAAAAAAAUAUUGAUUUUAAUAAUGUAAAUAAUAAAUUAUACUAAAAAUCAUUAUUAAUUUCACAUUAAAUUAAAAUUCUAUUUUACUUUAUUUAAUUAUUAAAUAUUUUUUAUAAUUCCAAAUUUACGUUAUAAAUUAAUUAUUAAAUUAGUAUUCAAAAAGAUAAAUUUUUAUAAAAUAAUAGAUUAUUGAAUAAAUAUCAUAUAAAUAUCAUAUACAUAUUUAACAAAAUAAUAAUUAUUUAAAUUAUGAUUUCUAUUUCUUUAACGUCAUUGAGGUUGAUUUGUAUAAUUAAUAAUACAAAAUUUUAGUUUAUAAUAAUAUUAAUAAUAAUAAUAACUUGUAAAUUGUAAUAUUAUAAUGUAAAACAUGAUUAUUUAUAGUCCAAUCUAAUAUUGUACCAAACACAAUAUAGUAUUAUAUAUAAUCCACUAUUAUUCAAUCCAAUUCAAUUUUAUCCAAUUUAAUCUAAUCUAAUUCAAUCAAAUCCGGCGGACCAAACCAGCCCAAAGGGUUUAUGGCCCUUUACUUACCAAACAGAAAAAGAUGCUCAACAUUGACAUCUUUGACCCAAUCCAAAUCUAAUCCAUACAUCUGCGGAUCAGAUGCAGAUUUAACCUAAUCCAUAUCCAAUCCACCAUUUUACGGAUUGGUUUGUAGACUGAAAAAUAUUAUAAGAAUAAUUUAUUAAUUGUUCAGACUUAAUUUAUAAUUCUAUAAGAUAAUGUGAACUUAUUAUAACUAUCUUAUCAAAAUGAGGUGGGAUUGCAAGAAUAAUGAGUAGAAAUAUCCCCAACCGAUAAAAUAAAAAGAAUUUUACAGCUAUACAAAUGCAAAUAUGUAGAACGUACCUUGUAGGUUGUUAUAAGCUAGAUUCAGAUACAAAAGAUUGCUAAAAUUUCCUAUCGCUGAAGGAAUAUUUCCAUCAAUGACGUUGUACGUUGCGUGUAACGCCUUCAGCCUCGAUUAAUUGAAGAGAGAAUUUGGGAUUGGACCCGUGAAACUGUUAUUACGAAGACUCAACACUUGUAAUUUGGAUAAGACGCCAAUCCAUGUUGCAAUGCUCCCACUCAAUUUAUUGAAAGUGAAACUAAUGAAUAUGAGUCGGCGUAAUUGCCCCAAUUCAUUAGGUAGAUUGCCAAGAAAAUUGUUCAGGCUAACAUCAAGAGAUUCAAAUGAAUUUUUGAUGGCGCGAACCGCAAGAAAUGCCAAUCCAGGUACACAUUGGAUAAGAUAUAGACCAAUUAUUUGUCAGGAUACUUCGAUAAUCAACGACACGGGCUUUGCAUGCAAGAAGAGCCGAUUGAUCGGUUGUUAAGAUGCAAUAGUGAGUAGUGAAAGUGGUUUGAGGUGGAGAUGCACCGGGAUCUACGGCCAUCCUGAGUUCAGCCAGAAGCAUAAUACUUGGACUCUCAUGAAAAGGUUAGCCAGCCUAUUUUCCUAUCCUUGGUGCUGUUUUGGUGAUUUUCAAUGAGAUAAUGCAUAUGCAUGAGAAAAACGGGGGCAAUGAGAGAAACCUGAAUAGGGUUGCCGAGUUUAGGGAAGCUGUGCAAAGCUGCAAUUUGCAGGAUAUGGGGUGUAAGGGAUAUCCCUAUACGUGGUCAAACAAAAGAUACAGAGAUCAUUUUAUUGAUGAGAGAUUGGACCGUUUUCUGUGUAGUAAAGAUUGGGGGAUUAAUUUUCAAGAAUCUGUAGGCACAAAUCUAGUGAACUGGUCUUCGGACCACUGCCCAAUCAUUCUAGAUUUCCAUGAGCGAAGCCAAAAUUCGAGACAUGCGGGCAAAUCUCUCCCCCGAGAUUAUUAUGAGGAUAUGUGGAGCUCCCACGAAGGCUGUAGGAGUAUAGUCCAGGAAGAGUGGAGCCGGUAUGGGGCUAGAGCUUGGGAAGCCCCUGUUCAGCAAUUUCAAUGAAUAGCCAAAUCUUCCUUGGCCCAGCUAAAACUUUAGAGCAAAACCGAAUUUCAUGGUAGGCAAAGAAAGUAAGAAAAGCUUAUGCAGAGCCUCCAGGAUGCUAUGAGAGGGAAUUCAAAGCUGGAUGAUGGCCAGGAAAUUAGGAGAUUGGAAAGUCAGAUUAACUCUAUGCUAGUUGAUGAGGAGAUUUACUAGAAACAGCGUUCGAGGGCCGACUGGCUUAGAGAAGGGGAUAAGAACACGAAGUAUUUUCACGCCAAAGCAUCUGCCCGCAAAAGGAAGAACAAGGUGUGGGGGAUUGAGAAUGACCAGGGCAUUUGGUUGAAGGAAAGGGAUGAAAUAGAGGAGGAGAUUUGCAGCCAUUUCCAAAAGCUUUUCACUACUUCCAGCCCGACUCCAAGCCAAAUCCAAGCAACCCUUCAAGGCAUGACAACAAAAGUAACUCCGGAGAUGAAUGUUCAGCUGGAGAAGCCGUUCACCGCUGAAGAUGUUGAGGAAGCCCUUGCCAACAUGUGUCCCACAAAGGCCCCAGGGCCUGAUGGUCUUCCAGCUGCCUUCUUCCAGAAGCAUUGGAAAUCUGUCCGUAACAGAGUGAUCUCAACGUGCCUUAAUGUCCUUAAUGAGCAAGGUAACCCAUCUACCCUCAAUCACACCUUUAUAGCUUUGAUUCCAAAAAUUGCAAAUCCUAGGAAAGUGAGUGAUUAUAGACCUAUCAGCCUCUGUAAUGUUAUUUAUAGAGUUGUAGCUAAGGCCAUUGCAAAUAGAAUGAAGCCGAUCUUUUCCCAAAUCAUCUCCCCUAUGCAAAGUGCAUUCAUCCCCAAUAGGCUCAUUACCGACAAUGUUAUUAUUGGUUAUGAAUGCCUUCAUAAAAUUAGGCAUAGCAAAGGGAAGAAGAACGGACUUGUAGCUUUAAAAUUGGAUAUAAGUAAGGCUUAUGAUAGAGUUGAGUGGCCUUUUUUGGAACAAACUAUGCUAAAGAUGGGGUUUCCUAGUAAUUGGGUAGCUCUGAUAAUGAGAUGUGUUAUUUCCACUUCAUUCUCGGUGCUAAUUAAUGGUGUGCCAAAAGGAAUGAUCCAGCCAAAAAGAGGCUUGCGACAGGGCUGCCCGCUAUCCCCGUACCUUUUUAUCCUUUGUGCAGAGGCUCUCUCCAAUUUGCUGGUUGUGGCAGAACAGAACCAGCUAAUCCAAGGGCUCAAAUUUGCGCGGGAAGUUUCAAUUACGCACUUGCUGUUUGCGGACGAUAGCUUGGUAUUCUCUCGUGCAUCAGUGGCUGAAUGCAGGCAUUUAAAAGAAAUGUUUGAUAAAUAUGCUGCAGCAUCAGGGCAGAUUUUUAAUUUUCAGAAAUCCUCACUGUUCUUCAGUGGAAAAAUUCCAGAGCAUCAACGGGCUGCUAUAAGGGGUAUCUUUAAUCUAAAUGUAGUCUCAAAGCAUGAGAAAUACCUUGGCCUACCAUCAAUGAUUGGGAGAAAGAAGAUGGGGUUCUGUAACGACAUCAAGCUGAAAGUGUUGAACAAGAUUGCAGGAUGGCAGCAUAAAAUGUUGUCUAGUGGGGGGAAGGAAGUUCUGAUCAAAGCGGCAGCCCAAGCAAUUCCGGCGUAUGCAAUGAGUGUUUUCAAGCUCCCAAGAGGCUUUUGUGAUGAUAUUCAGCGAGCUAUAGCGAAGUUCUGGUGGGGCUCGAAAGGGGAUAAGCACGGAAUCCAUUGGCGAAAAUGGGAGAAGCUCAGCCAGGCAAAGAUUAGAGGGGGGCGGGGAUUUCGAGAGUUUUCUUGCUUCAAUCAAGCGCUGGUAGCUAAGCAAGCUUGGAGGUUACUGCAGUACCCAAAUUCGCUGGUCUCCAAAGUCCUUCAAGCAAGAUAUUUCAGGAAUUCCAGCUUUUUAUGUGCAAAGGCAGGAGCCAAUGCCUCGUAUAUUUGGAGAAGCAUCAUGUGGGGUAGGCAGGUGAUUAAGAAGGGUAUGAGAUGGCAGAUAGGUAAUGGCAAGAAGGUAGCAAUUUUCUCGGAUAACUGGCUGCCAAGACCAGAGACCUUCAGACCUAUCUUCCCUCCAUCUUUGCCCGUAAGCUCAGUUGUUGCAGAUUUAAUUAAGGCUGAUAAUCAAUGGGAUGAAAUAAAGCUUCGACAGCACUUCAUGGAUGUAGACACAGCAGAGAUCCUCAAGAUUCCCCUCCCAACUGAGAAAGAAGAAGAUGGAGUGCUUUGGGAUUACGACAAAAGAGGGAACUACUCUGUCAAGAGUGGGUAUCAGCUAGCAUUGAGAUCAAAAUUUCCAGAUUCCACCAGCUGCACAGAGGCUUCCCACAAGUACUGGAGUGCCCUUUGGACACUGGAGUUGCCUGCGAAGCUUAAAAUUUUCAUGUGGAGGGCCUCUAAUAAUCUGCUUCCAUCGGUGGAAAAUCUGUGGAAAAGGAAGGUAGUGGAGGAGCCAACUUGUAAGCGAUGCAAACUGAGUGUUGAGACUAUCAGCCAUGCUCUCUUGGAGUGUAAGGUAGCGAGAAAAAUUUGGCUCCAAUCCCCCUUUUCAGGCCUUAGAUUAGAAGCCAAUUCUCAGGACAUUUUCAGCACUUUGCAAAAUAUGGCUAAGGAGAUGAGGAAAUCAGAUCUGGAAUUAAUGGUAGCUCUGUGUUGGUCUGCCUGGUAUGCUAGGAACAAAUGUAUCUUCGAUGGCAGGGAGAUUAAUCCUAUUAUAUCAGCUGCUAAAGCGGAGUCUGUUUUGUCAGCUUUUCAGAGAGUUAGGAAGCCCCAGCAAGCUCACAUCUCUAUCUUCAUAAAAGAGAAGCAGCAGGAGUGGCUCCCCCCUCCCCCGAAUGUUUUUAAAGUUAAUGUGGAUGCUGCUCUUAAUUCAAAGAAUCUGAGUGCAGGAGUGGGAACUGUGAUUAGAGACUCUAAUGGAAAGAUAGUUGCGGCUGGGGUAAAUCAGAACCUCCUAAAGGGGUCAGCUAGCUUGGCUGAAGCAGAGGCGGUGCUUUGGGGCCUUCAGCUGGCGAGAAAGGCGGAUGUAUCCUCUUUGAUUAUUGAGUCUGAUUGUUUAGAGGUGGUCCAGCUAGUGAACAACACCAAGGGCAGCAGAUCAGAAAUUUUUUGGACAAUUCUGGCAAUCCAAAACCAGAUGAAGAACUUCCAGAAAGUGGUUGUCAAUCACAUUCCAAGACAUUGUAAUGCUUGUGCCCAUUACCUAGCUAAGAUAGCUUUGGGGAAAAUCUCUCCCUGUAUGUGGCUGGGAAAUAUUCCAGCUGAAUUGUAUGGUAUUAUCAAGGUGUUGUGAUUAAUGAAAGGUUUACUUUCUUUUCAAAAAAAAGAAGAAUGAUAAGCGCAUAUUGGUCUUUUUUUUUAGAUGCGUCCAUCUAAUUGCUAAGUGAAGUUGAUACAAGUUUUAAGUGAAGGAAAUUAGCAUAUGCAUAUACAAGAGGCGUAUGAAUUUUGAUAACAAGAAAAGAAAACAAUAUACAGGAGAGUGGAGGCUUGCAAAUUGUUAUAUUUCAUUAUUUAGCGAGUCGUCCGAGUAAACGCGUAUAGACUUUUAAAUUGUUAUACGCCGCCGUACUUGAACCGUGAAUAAAGGGCUUAUGGCACUUGAGUUACCAAAAAGAAGAAGAUGCUCAACAUUGGCAAGGCCUAUGCAUUCUGUCCAUUUGUUCACGUUUUGCCGAGGCUCAUGGCAACCACAAUAUGUUCUUUUUCUUUCCUCUAAAAAACAAAAAGACGACCUUCACAUUUGGGCUAAUAAUUAUCACUAAACAAUUAAUAAUGCUGAGGGCUAGUGGUAAUGUAGCUUUAAAAUAAUUGUUAUUAGUUGCGCCUUAAAAAUAAAGAAAUAAAGAUAGUUAUACUAUACCCCCACAAUUUAAUAAAAUAAUCAUGUAAAUUUCUAAACUUUUAACAAUAUACACCAAGACCCCUUAUGUUACUUUUUACCAUUUAUUUGGAUGUCACAUGCUUUUUUUUUUUUUUUUUUAAAUUUUUCACUGCAGAAAUUAAAUGCUAAAUUUACUGUUAUUCCCAUAUCAUGUCAUCGCUUGCUUCUACACAUAUUGAUUGUUUUUCCAAAGUUUAAAAUUGAAUUAAAAACAUUCUAAUUAACCUAAAAAUUAAAAAAAAAACUCAUCCAACCAGAUAUAAAUCUUCUAAUUAACCUAAAGAUAAGCUACACCCCCAUAUUAAUUCCAAUUAAAUAAAUCUUCAUUUUUGUCAUGGUUUUGGAUCUCGAGCAGGGUGGAUACAUCCAACCAGAUCCGCCCCAUUGGCAUUCCAAUAUAUUAUGGAAUUGGAAGAGUAUCAAUGACUUAAUUUGUAAUUUUAAAUUUGUAACGUAUAAUUCUAAUUUAAGGAUUCAAAUUAAUUUAUGCGGAUCUAAAAGGGGACUGAUGAUGGGCAUGCAUACAUACAUGCAUACAUAUAUUUACAUAGAGAGAGAGAGAGUGAGGUAAUAUAACAUUCUUCUUGAUGAAGAUUUUUGUGCCAUACGCAUUAAAGAGAGUAUUGUGUCGAUGUUGGAGGCUAGAGGGACAAGUGGUUACAUUGCUUCAGAGGUGUUUAGUAGAAACUUUGGUGAGGCAUCACAUAAUUUAAACUACUAGAUUUAGCGAGAUAUAUAUAUUUUCCACAUUGGAUUUACAAGCAUUUGGAGCAGGAUAAUGAAUUUAAAUUACUCGGAAUUGUAAACAGCGGAAAGUGAAAUUGCUAAGAAGAUGAAUAUUGUUGUUUUGUGGUGUAUACGGACUCGUCCAUCGGAUAGGUCGCCCAUGAACAGAGUGAUAGAAAUGUUAUUGCAAAGAAGCAGACUGACUAGCAGUGACGCUUUGAAUAAAUCCACCAAACAUCUUCUCCUACAAGACCACCAAUAUAUUCUUCCACCAUUCAACGUCGUGAUGUGGGGAUCAGAAUUGAAUUAUAGGAUGCUUGUAAGUUUCCUUUGUGGAACUUGUGAAUUUGUGAUGGCAAAAGUCAAUGAUGCAUGUAACUAGCCGGCCCGUGUAGAGGCCGUUUGACUCAUAAAUAUUUGUCACUUUCACUCUUUUUCAAAACCCAAAAGCACGCUAAAGCUUAAUCUAAAAAGAAUUUUUGAUUUAGUGCUGACAUUUUGGGCUCACCUUUGAGUAAUGUUUUACCACGCAUGCAUUUAUGUCAUUGUGCGGUCAUCCUUUACUUCUAAAGAUCGUAAUCUUUAAGAAAAAAUUACUUCUUUUGAAAGUGAAAGCAGGCCAGCUAUUGGCGUAUUGCAUUGAAGCUGCUAUGUGUAGUAGUCAAUUCUUGGAAAGAACUAGUUUUCUUAAAUUGUAAAUGGUCCCCUUUAUGACUGGGAGAUUUUGAACAAAAUUAAUAUGAUGAAUUCUUAGCAAGUGUUGUUCCUUGAAGUCUCAUCUUUCACAAUGUUUUUGAAAUAAAGAUAUUACCAUCUCUGACUAAAGAUUUACUCUUGAUUUGGACCACCUAAUCUGAACUUGAUGGAUGAUUAUGAUCUUGCCUAAUUUUAUGGAUGUGGUCUUAUCUCACGUAAGUCAGUAAUGAAUUAAUUAAAGUUUACUGUCAAAUUAUGAACUGAAAAACUGCUGCUACUUCAUUAUUCACAAUGCCCAAAUUCAGUGCAGAACUGAUUAUAAGUUUUCCGAAAGUUUUACGCUUUCUUUCCCCCAAAUCCCAAGUACUUCCUGUAAUAUCAUUCCCCUAUAGAUGUCUUCCCCUGAGACAUUUUUAACUUUGGUUCAGGGUAACAAAGCUAUAGCUUUUCCUGUCGUGUGCAACAAGCUAUUAAAUUAGAGUAUUUAUUUCUGUAUUACUACUAGUAGUAAGAGAGGCGAAAUGGAAUCUUGAAUUCAUGUUUAUACAACAGUUUGUUUAUAAAUAAAUGAGUUGAUAACAAGUCAUUUUAAAUAUUUGCAAAAAAAAAAACGGUGAGUGAUGUCUAGUUCUAUUUUCAAUGUUCAGAGUCGAAUUUUGAUUACUGAAAAUUUUAAUUUAUGAAGUUGAACUAAGAAUUUGUUAUAAUAUAUUCCACCUUCCUAUACAGUCAUCUGGAAUAAUAAUAUAUCAAAAACAGUAAUAACUUGAUUUACAGGGUGAGAAAGAAAAGAAAGACGCUACGAGGGAAGCAGAGAUUCAAAGACUUCGCUACUUUGUUGGAGGAACAAUUUCAUAAAUCUCCAGAAUAUUGACAUAAAACACAGAACAUAUCUAGCAUUAAGUAUAUUUAUGUAUGUCCAAAGAUAAAAAUUCGAAGAUUAGAUUUAUCAUUUCAAUUUAUGUUCCGCCCAAAGCAAUGGCUUUUAUUCCACAAGCACAAACAAGAAAGAGUACACAAAGUUAACAAACACACAUGUUGAUGCGAGAUUCUGGUUGUCCUCGUUCUACGACCAGGGUCUCUGCUCGAUCAACUUCACCACGACCAGGAUCUCUCCUCGUAAAGCUUCUUCUCCAGAGGUUCCUGCGCACACAGACAGGUCAGAGUACGCCGGUUUUUUUCCCGGCGCAAACCCUCCAACGCUCAAGUCAGAAAUAGGGGUUCUGGGAAUGUUUGCCACGAAUCUUAUGGCUUCUUUUUAAUCUCAGUUCUCGGAACUUUCUUUUCUUAGUUCUAAUAGCAAAAAGUCUAACCCUUUUACCUUUGCUGGCUACUUUUUUAUAGGCUUCCUCUGAAUCCCGGUCUUCCGUAGUCCACGCCCAUUACUCUUCCCACCCUCGGAUGUGGAUGCCCCAUUGUCGUCAUUGUGGGCGAAUGGAGAUGGACUUCGUGCCUUGAUUCUCGGAUAGGAACGCACGUCUUGCCAACUGUCGUUGACCGGGUCUCCUCGCCUCGACCCCUAGCAGGAAUGGCCUUAUGCCUCUAACAGGAGUUCGUCCUCGUGAAUGGCAUAUUUGUGGACGAGCAGAAUAUUCCUGCUCCUGUUCCCUUGCUACCAGGCUCUUACAGGACAUACCUGUUCGCAGAACUCUGCCACCAAAUAUAUGCUCAUCAUGUCUGGUCUCGUCGAAGUAUUUCCCUCAAACACCGGUCCCCCAGUUUCUGGUGUUGGGUAAUGUAAUGGACCAGCAGUAGAAACUCAACAGUUCUUGCUCGCGUGAGACUUGAAAAGGCUGCCAAGAGUCGUGUCGCAUUUAAUUGCGGAUGCAGUGAUGUGGCAGAAAUCUACCCCUUCGUUUGAAUUUCAAACCUACGGUUGCAAGAUUCUCAGAAUCUGCGUCAUUAAAUGCUGGCAGCCCAAAAGUUUGCUUCUCAGUAAGAAAACCCAAAAUCCUCAAACACGAACUCGUCAUUUUCUCCAUUCCUGUCUCUCCGGCUAAUGAACCUCGGCAUUAAAGCUUUCAUCCCUGUCUCUCUCUGAGCGAGUCCCUGCUUCAGGUAUUUCUUCUAUCUUCACGGUCUCGGUUAGUUGUAGAUAAUUUCUUUUCUCUUUGCUUUGCUUGGGGUAGUAUCUGGUAGUGGUGUUUUGGUUAUAACCUAGGGAAUGUCGAAGGGUAAGGAGAAAGUCGUUGAUAUUGAUGACGACGAACUAGGUUUCUUGCCUAGUCUGCUCACUGAUUCUGCUUUUGGCCCCGGGAUCCCCUUAGAGCCCACUAGGUCUAGUGUUGGGACUAGCGCUAGGAGGAUGUCCCCCCAAACAACCUCCACGAGCGGAAGUAGUGGCGAGGAGGGACCUUCUGGCUCGGAAGACACCCUAAGUGAGGAUCAAUGAGGUGACUCUGGUGAGGGAUCUUCACCGGGAACACUGCGACCAGAAGGGUGUAGUACAGUAGGAGGUAGAGCCUUGUCGCGGGAUUAUGCUAUUGAUUACAUGACCUGCACGACCACAUUCAACGAGCUGGAUGACCUCCGGCUCAGGUAUCAUAUUCCUGGUGAGGUACUCCUUAGGAUCCCAGGAAAGAAAGAUAGUCUUAGCAGGCCUCCUAGGGGAUUUGUCACCUUGUUCUUGGAGAGUUUUAAGUACGGGCUAAGGUGCCCCUUGCAACUCUAUUUUGCUCGCAUACUCCACGGGCUCAAUCUAGCUCCUGGUCAGUUGAACCCCAAUGGGUGGAGGGUGCUCUUUGGUCUGUUCAUAUUGUGGGACAGAUGUUGCCAAAGCGAGCCCACGGUUGAUGAGGUGAAGCACCUGUACCAGCUAAGGAGUAGCCCCAAAGAUGCCGGCUGGUACUACUUCCAAUCUAGUACCAAGAGUAGGAAACCCAUAACUGAUCUUCCAACUGGUGGUGGUGGGACUUGGAAGAGGAAAUUCUUUUUUGCUGGGGGUCCUUGAGGUCAAGUUGCACAAAUAGACGGGAAGGAUUGUCGCGUCCCACCCCGUUUCACGGUCCCAGGUUGCCUGCUCACUUUAGAUGUCUUGUAUCCAUAAUUGUUCUUACUUUAUUGGUUUGUCUCUAACCAAGUGUCUGUUUGUGUUGUAGUUUCUUGGGGUGUUCAUUUUCCGCUCAAACCUGAUCAGCUCAAACGGGUCGAGGCUGUACUAGCCAACUCCUGCCCGAGCCGAGAACUGAUAACUAUUUAUAACUUCCUCGAGUCUCGCUUGGUACUCCCUGGCCAUAAGAUGGAGGACGCUGUGAUUGGGGCUCUGAACAGGAAACGUUCUCGACCUCAAAACACGAAGAGGGACCAGAACAAGGACGCCCCUAGGGCAAAGCGGACCAACAUCGUGCAGCAAGUCUCUCCCUUGAAGACUUUACCUCCUGCUCCUGCCAAAGUCAGCGAAACUAGUGGAGCAGCCACAGAUCCUGCUUCCUCUUCUCCUCCUGUCGGGCCUCGAUCUCGCUUUCCUGACAGCCGAGCAGAACACUUGGUCCCCUAUCUCAAUGAGUUAUCUAAACUCGUGAGCAAGAAGGACCUGGAGGACUUUAAUGGCUGCACCCUGGGCGAGCUGGUAGGAGCCAUGCAGUAUAGUGCUUUCCAUCUCAGCUGCAUGACCACCUAUUAUAAGGCUAAGGUUGGCCGUUAUGACAGGAAGAUGAAGGAGGACAUUCAAUCAGCGAUGACCAGAGCUGACGCCGCCGAGAAGAAAGCAGGAGAGCUAAAUGUCGAGAACCUGAAGCUGAUAGAGCAAGAAUCUCUUGCUCAAGCAAAAGCCAUUACCCUCGAGGAGGAGCUGACCAAGGUCAAGGAGGAUCUUCAAAGGCAGAAGGCAAUGUAUGAGGCUCAGCUCGAAUCUCUCCGCGAUUCCCAUCGAGCUCAGGUCGAGAACUUGGAGAAGGAGGCCGACAACCAGUACGACCAGGGACUUCGGCAUUCCUAUCGUUGCAUCAUGGCCGUCCUCGGGAAGCAGCAUCCUGAUCUAAAGAUGGACGACCUUGCAGCUGGUGUCGCCCAACAUAUGGACGAGGAGGCUGCAAAGGAGGAUGCCGAAGGGGUAGACGCAAUCGUGAUUGAGGAGGAAAACUCUCCUCCUCAUGUAGACCCUGCUGACGUUGGCGAGGCGAGCACCCCCCCGGACGCAACUGGUGAUACCCCCCCUGCACCUGAGGAGGUCCAGCCAACCGAUGCUGCUCGGCAUACUGAUCCGCCAUCUUCUUGAACUUAUCUUGUGCUGUAAUUGCUUUUUGAAUAUUCUAUAUAACAGCUUUGUAAACUUUUAAGAGCUUAAUAAGAUUGUUCUUAUUUGCUUCCUCGCAUUGGUAUUUUAAUUUAUUUAUCUAUUUGGCUUCUGUCCUCGUCACAGAGGAGGCCUUGAAGUUUGACGAGCCUUUGCCUGUCUUGGAUAAUUUCUUCAAUGAUUGGGAUUCUGCUCGCCUUCGCGUGGUCGAGCAGAUCCUGGCACGCUUGGCUUUUGGUCUCGCCAUAAACAGGCUUUGAGACUCGACGAGCCUUUGCAUGCCUUAGUUUCUUCAAGGAUUGGGAUUCUGCUCGCCUUCGUGUGGUCGAGCAGAUCCUGGCACGCUUGGCUUCUGGUCUCGCCAUAAACAGGCUUUGAGACUUGACGAGCCUUUGCAUGCCUUAGUUUCUUCAAGGAUUGGGAUUCUGCUCGCCUUCGCGUGGUCGAACAGAUCCUGGCACGCUUGGCUUCUGGUCUCGCCAUAAACAGGCUUUGAGACUCGACGAGCCUUUGCAUGCCUUAGUUUCUUCAAGGAUUGGGAUUCUGCUCGCCUUCGCGUGGUCGAGCAGAUCCUGGCACGCUUGGCUUCUGGUCUCGCCAUAAACAGGCUUUGAGACUUGACGAGCCUUUGCAUGCCUUAGUUUCUUCAAGGAUUGGGAUUCUGCUCGCCUUCGCGUGGUCGAGCAGAUCCUGGCACGCUUGGCUUCUGGUCUCGCCAUAAACAGGCUUUGAGACUUGACGAGCGUUUACAUGCCUUCAAUUCUUCAAGGAUUGGGAUUCUGCUCGCCUUCGCAUGGUCGAGCAGAUCUUGGCACGCUUGGCUUCUGGUCUCGCCAUAAACAGGCUUUGAGACUUGACGAGCCUUUGCAUGCCUUCAAUUCUUCAAGGAUUGGGAUUCUGCUCACCUUCGCGUGGUCGAGCAGAUCCUGGCACGCUUGGCUUCUGGUCUCGCCAUAAACAGGCUUUGAGACUUGACGAGCCUUUGCAUGCCUUCAAUUCUUCAAGGAUUGGGAUUCUGCUCGCCUUCGCGUGGUCGAGCAGAUCCUGGCACGCUUGGCUUCUGGUCCCGCCAUAAACAAGCUUUGAGACUUGGUGAGCCUUUGCAUGCCUUUGAUAAUUUCUGGAAAGCUUAGGAUUCUGCUCACCUUCUCGUGGUCGAGCAGAUCCUGGCACGCUUGGCUUCUGGUCUCGCCAUAAACAGGCUUUGAGACUUGGUAAGCCUUUGCAUGCCUUUGAUAAUUUCUUGAACAGUGUAGUUGAUUCAAACUCCUCAUUGAUUCAUUUAUUAUUGAAUUCGGCUUACAUGAGGUUGCUUUGAAAUAAGAAAUAAAAAAAUAGAAAACAACAGACAUGAACAGAAAAAAAACUUUAAAACAUGAGUAAGUCUUACUAGAAAUAUUUCCUGAGGUGUGCCGCGCUCUAGGGGCGUUUCACCUCGUGGCCCUCCGUGCGAACCAACUUGUAAACUCUGGGUCCAACUAGCUGCCAUUCCUGGCUUCCACUCGGGUAUCAAAGGAUGUUAUCUGCAUUGCUUCCUUUGUUGCCGAGGAGUAACAGCUUCGUGCGAUUCUCUGGUCUCCUCGUACCACUCCAACUACCCCAUUCACCCGGUACUUGAGAGCCAGAUAAUGGUUGGACAGCACCGCUUUGCUCAUCCUCAGAAAUGGCCGGCCUAGGAUCAUCUGAUAAGGACCUUCCUCAUCCACUACCACAAAGUCCAGUAUCAUUGUCCUUUCUGUCGGGGAGCUCCCAAUCGUGAUAAGUAGCUCGACCACGCCCAGAGGGACCAACUUUCCUCCUCCAAACCCCUUCAAGGAGGUAUUGGUGUAAUCCAACUUCAGGUCUGCUAUUCCCAUUUCCUCCAGGGUUGACUUAAACAACACAUCAACUGAGCUCCCUGUGUCAACCAGUAUCCUGUCAAACUUCUUGCUGGCAACAGUGGCCUUGAUGACCAAAGCAUCCUCGUGGGGGUAUAGAAUCCCUUCUUCAUCCUCAUCUGUCCACAUGAUUGGCACUUGCCUGACUCUUGCACAUUUGGCUGCUGGGGUGUUGAAGAAUACAUCUUUGCUGGUCAUGGCGUAUCUAGCGUAAUUCUUCCUCGACCUGUUGGAAUCUCCGGCCAAUGUUGGGCCCCCAGCUAUCACCCUUAGUGCAGGAUGCUCGCGCCUCAGGUUUCUAUCACUCUGCUCCCCUUCAUAUGUCGAGGCCACCAUCGGGAAAGUCCCAUCUACAAACUCGUCCAGGUACCGAUUUCUCACCAAAUCUUCAACCUGGGUCUUGAGAUCUCUGCAUUCUGCGGUGGUAUGGCCAUGAGUGCCAUGGAACUUACAAUGGCGUCCCCUAUCCCUCCUGCCGGGUAGCUUUGUUAUUGGGGCAGGGAGGUACAGCAGUCCUCGGUCCUUUAUGGCCUCGUAUACUUCAUCUAGGGACAUCUUCAAGGACGUGUAUCGCCCAUACUCCUGGUUCUGGUCGAUCAGGUGCACGGCCCUUUCUCUAUUUGCUCCGUUCUGAGUUGGAGGCGAUGACAGCAUUUCUGGUCUGCUCCCUCUACUACCGUGGGAGUGUUGAUGAAGACCACCAUAUGUCGAAUCAUGCCUUCUCCAAGGCUCCCUAGCUGGGGAACGAGGAGGGUGCGCCCUGCUGCGCUGAUACUGUGGUGGCCUCUGAUGAGGCUGGUGAGCUGUUACCCGACCUCCUGCUCCACUACCUGAGGCCUGGAGGUCCCUCCUCCUGAUCGGCCAAUUUCCCAGUAAUGCCCUCUUUUCUUUCUUUUCCAACCCCUCCAGCUGGUCUGUCUUAAUCCGAGCUGCCUUUUCUUCCUCGAUCUCUAUGUCUCUUUUAGCUUGCUCGUAUGCGGCUGCAUACGUCUGAAUAGCUGGGCUUCUCAAGUUGUACCACAGCCUUCCUAUCUUCACUCCCUCUUUCAAUCCCCUUAGUGCCUGAGGAUGGUCGAAGGCUCCCAAAUCGAGGACAGCACGAUGAAACCUCUUGAUGAAUUCCCGAAGAGUUUCUUGUUCCCCUUGCUUCAUGCUUUUCAACUCCAUCAUGUCAUCUUCUAGUGCCAUUGCCCCACGAAACUGCUCUGCAAACUCCUGGCACAUCUGCUCGAAGGUUUUAAUGCUCCUCCCCCGAGGAAGUUUUCUGUACCACUCUCGUGCACGUCCCUCAAGGGAUAGUGGGAACACCCUGCCUGCACCUUUGGGAUUGAGAUAAUCCUUGUACCCCAAUUAUGUCGUUGAAGCGCUCUAUGUGCACCAGCGGAUCUGUUCGUCCCGAAUAUCUAAGGUCUGGGAGGCGGAAAUCUCUCGGAAUAACUGCCCUCAUGAUCUCUGCUGCGAGCGGUGAUUCUCCAUCUAGCAUUAUCCUCCAACCAGGAGCUCUGCUCCUUCCUUGCAUGUCGUCAAUUAUCUGCGCUAGUCUGCGCACUUCCUCCUCCAGCUGCACUGCACGACCAGGGUCACGUGCUGCAACUUGAUCCCGCUCUUGCUCUACAUCAAGCAAGUGUUGCCUCAACUCUGUUUCCUCUGCAUUUGCCACCCCGUCGUCCUCGUCAAAAAUCUGUCUUGCCGGGAAUUGCUCUUCCUCUCUACGGAAUUCUCCCCGCAGAGGUAUGUUACCUCUCUCACCACCAAAUCUCCCGGUGGUUUGACUUCUCCUCGUACUAUCGGGACCUAGUGCCACUCCACCAACUCUCAUCCUUUCCUCCUGGGUUACCCUUCGUUCACUCCGCAACUCAUGCAGGAUGGUUGUCAGGGUCUCCAUCUGCUUUUCCAUUCGUUCCAUUCGGUCGAACAUGGCUUUUUCCCGUGCUUCACUGGCUAUCUCCCUCAGAGUCACGGAAUCGUUAAGCCUCAUAUCACCCCCUUGUGCACUACUUCCUCCUGUCUCCAUUGCUUUUCACUUGCUUCACUCCUCUUCUUGCUAUCAACAGAAGCUUUUUGAUCAGCUCCCCACAGACGGCGCCAAAAUAUUGAUGCGAGAUUCUGGUUGUCCUCGUUCUACGACCAGGGUCUCUGCUCGAUCAACUUCACCACGACCAGGAUCUCUCCUCGUAAAGCUUCUUCUCCAGAGGUUCCUGCGCACACAGACAGGUCAGAGUACGCCGGUUGUUUUCCCGGCGCAAACCCUCCGACGCUCAAGUCAGAAAUAGGGGUUCUGGGAAUGUUUGCCACUAAUCUUAUGGCUUCUUUUUAAUCUCAGUUCUCGGAACUUUCUUUUCUUAGUUCUAAUAGCAAAAAGUCUAACCCUUUUACCUUCGCUGGCUACCUUUUUAUAGGCUUCCUUUGAAUCCCGGUCUUCCGUAGUCCACGCCCAUUAGUCUUCCCACCCUCGGAUGUGGAUGCCCCAUUGUCGUCAUUGUGGGCGAAUGGAGAUGGACUUCGUGCCUUGAUUCUCGGAUAGGAACGCACGUCUUGCCAACUGUCGUUGACCGGGUCUCCUCGCCUCGACCCCUAGCAGGAAUGGCCUUAUGCCUCUAACAGGAGUUCGUCCUCGUGAAUGGCAUAUUUGUGGACGAGCAGAAUAUUCCUGCUCCUGUUCCCUUGCUACCAGGCUCUUACAGGACAUACCUGUUCGCAGAACUCUGCCACCAAAUAUAUGCUCAUCAUGUCUGGUCUCGUCGAAGUAUUUCCCUCAAACAACACAUAGCAAACAUGACAUUAACUACUUGCAGCAGCAUCAUCCAGAAACUUCACUAUAAUCUUCUUGAGCUUUUCAGCGGCAUCUUUCGUAGAUGCCCUUUGUUUUGGUGACUCCAUGCAAAAAUCCAAUGCCGAAUGCAUGAUGCUUAAUAAACAAUUCAUUUUAUUAGUACAUUGGAUAUAAUCGAAGGCAGAGUAUAUUUCAGGACAAGUAGAGUAGCAUUCUUGGAUCCUUUGCUAUUAUCUUCUUUGCAAGGUGGGACUUGAGGUCCUGGUGGACAACAUACUGCAUAAUUCUAAAAAAAUUAUUGAGCUGAAAUGUUUUUAAAAGGUCUUUUGAUAGAAACUCCCCCUUCUAGCCUAUUGUGAGACACAUUAAGUUGUUUGAGAUAUAAGAGUGCCUCUAUUGACUUUGGAAUUUCUCCAGAGAAAUUGUUGCUUGGGAGAUCCAAAGAUUCCAACCUUAUCAAACUACCAAAUGAUUUGGGGAUUAGACCAUAAAAUUGGUUUCUAGCCAAGCUAGAUCUUUGGGGCCACCAAUAUUUACUGGCAUAUCACCUGAUAAUUGAUUUCUUGAUAAAUCUAACUCUAUUAAGACCCUUAAGUUUUGUAUAUCACUUGAUAAUUGUUUGUAUUGGGCCUUCUAUUUUCAUUAUAGAAUAAAUUAACUAUUAAUUUUCAUGAGAAAAAUACUUAUUUCCAUAAAAUUAUUCAAGCUUUUAAAAAGAUUUAGAAUUAAAAAUCAAACUUUGUACUGUAGAAAAUUUGCCGGUACGUUCAAUUAGUACUUUGUUUGAGGAAAUAAGAUUAGAAUAGGCUAUAGGUACGGUAGUUAUGCGGUACCUGUUUAAUAACCGUAGUAUAGUAAAUGUUUGACUUUUUUAUUAGAAAUAUAUCAUUAACAAUUUUGUUCGCUAAUUGAAUAGAGAAAGAAAGGGGGGGUGGGGGGGGGGGGAGGGCAAAAAGGUUAACACAUUUCGAAACUACAAACGAUUGCCUUUUCCUAUUAAUAAUGUUUGCGGAUUCUAACAAUUGAAUCUCAAGGUCAUUACAUAGUGAAUUUUAUAGUUAAUAAAAUUAAUAUUCCACAUACUAUCUACUCAAUUAAUGUCACAUUUUUUGAAACUUGAAUGAUCUAUUUGCUACAAUUAGGAGCCAACGUCGUAAUGAAUGUUAAAUUAUGCUGUUUGUUUUGAUUUACUUUUCUAUCUUAGCUCCAAGUGAUUAGCGGAAUGCUGGUCUUGUGAGUAUAAAAUGAACUCCUUAAGUCAAAUUCCUUCUGGGGUGUUGGAGAAAGAACUAAAUACAUGUAAUCUUGCUUUCGGAUAUGGAUUAUCUGAUGGAUGUUGUAUUUUCUAGGUAUUGAGGAGAUUCCUCAUUAUUGAAAAAUUACGUUCCCGAGCAUCAAAAGAUGAUCCCAUAGAAUUGCGUUCUCCUGUGACAAAAGAGGAGCUUGUAGCUGAGGUAUCGAUUUUUAUCUUUCUUGAUUGUUCUUUAUAGUUGUUUCUCAUCAAAAUAGAAAAAGCAGUUUGUUCUGAGUGACCUGUGCGGUCUACUAUCAAUCACUGCCAUUUCUAUCAUUUAGUACUAUUGACUGUGUGUAUAGAUAUUUUGUUUUUGCCAUGUAAUUUCAUGUUUGAUACAUUUCUAAUACAUUGCAUAGCGUUCAUGAACGAGAAUGAUAAACUAACUUUCAGGUGUGUUUAAGUAGAUGAAAAAACUUGGUACAAUUUAGAAGGAUUCACUAAUUUUCCAAUUUGUUUGUAUGGAGAAAUUGAAUAGUUAAUUGAUUAGAGGAUUGCAAAGUGGGUAGGUCCAGCUGGGCAUUGUCAAUAUUAACGAUCGAUGUUUUGAGAAGGUCUGGAGCUGACAUCACGGUUGCGUCUGUGGAGAAACAACUUCGUGUCGACGCGUGUCACGGUGUCAAGAUUGUCGCUGAUGCUCUCGUGUCUGACUGCCGCGACGCCGUUUUUGAUCUUAUAGCUCUUCCCGUAUGUAUUGCAGCUCACCUCAGCUCAUGCCAAUUUAUGUGAUGUUUGUAUAAUUAUAGAUGAUUAUUGCUGAUACUGAAUGUUAAGCUAAAUAAUUCGUUCUUAAGUCAUCUUCAUUUAAUUUUCGAUUGAAAAUGAAAAAAAUAAUAAUUGUAAGCAAAGAAAAAUAUCGAAAAUGUUUAUUUUGUUUUAAUUUUAUUUUUUAAUUUUUUGGGAUUUCCUUAUUGUGGCUGUUAUUAUUCAUUAUAUGGUCCUAGUUAAAUAUUUCAAGUUGUUGUAGUUAGUGAAUUUCUUUUCGAUAUUUAUUCUGGCAUGUAUAUUUUUUCUUUUCAAUUUCUUUUGUUGCUGAUUCUUUGAUUAUGUUAUAUCCUUUUUUGUUUCCCUUGUAGGGUGGCGUGCCUGGUGCUACCAAUCUGAAAGAAUCUGAAGUAUUAGAAAGCAUUGUGAAGAAGCAGGCUUCAGAUGGGCGUCUUAAUGCUGUUAUCUGUGCUUCACCUGCUGAGGCAUUAGGGUCUAGGGGUCUGUUGAAGGGAUUGAAGGUAAGAAUUAGAUAAACCUUUUUGAUGUUCUGUGGUCUUUUGGGAAUUGCACUGAUAUUUUUGUUAUAGUUCAGUUUUCUUCUCGCUGAUGAUUGUUAAGUUCUAAUUUAUGUAGUUGUUCAUUUUUCGUAGGCUACUUGUUAUCCGUCAUUUAUGGAGCAAUUAGCUCCUGCUUGUGCAACAACUGUUGAAUCAAGAGUACCACAGGAUGGUAAAGUUGUUACGAGUCGUGGACCCUGCACUACUAUGGAGUUUGCUGUUGCACUUGUUGAGCAGUUGUAUGGGAAAGAGAGAGCUGAUGAGGUUUCUGGGCCACUGGUAGUAACUUUUAUAGAUAAUGUUGUUUAAAAAAAUUGUGAGUUAUAUAAUUUGUUGAAAUUCAUUCUAAUAGGUUCAUCUGGUAUGUCAAAUUGGAAGGUUCAGAUGCUAAUGUAGUCCAAAAAAUUAGUUCAGGGGAAAAGUAUGACUUUUUGCAUUAGAGAUUUAUUAGAUGAAGUUGUAUACCUACUGGCCCAUCUUAAUAUGGUGAAAACGAUGUAAAAUCGGGAGAGGGGGUUCGGGGGAGAGGGGAAGCCCUCUCCAACCGCAAGGCCGUUAUUCUGACAUGAAUAGAGUAAGGCCUUUACUUUUAUAAAGAAAGGUCCCUGUUUUGCACGUCUCCACUGAUCACAUUCUUUUUAAUGUAAGUUCUUUCUCUUGGUAUUUGUCUUUGAUUUUUCUCUUCCUCAUGCUGUCGUCUGUCAAAAGAUUUGGCUGCAGCAUCUAGAAGUUUUGAAGAAGCAAAAUGGGUCACACGGCUUUGAAGUUCUAGAUGCCGUAAUGUUUGGUAAAAGUAAAAAAAAAUUCAAAGCUCAAAAAUUCAAAGUUCGAAAAACUGAAAUUUUUGAGCUGUAUGGCUUGUAAUUUUAUAGCCACUUUUUUGACUUUUAAGGAAAAGUUUUACCUAUAAAUACAAGCUCUCAAUUUAGAGCUUGCAUCCAAUUUUGUAAAGAGAGUCGAGAGCUGUGAAAAGCAAUUCUUGCAGAGCAGAGAGUUUGUAGAGCUUAAAUAAUAAAAGCUGUUGUUUUAAUGAUUUGAGAGUUUGGAUGUAUUGGGGUUUUGGGAAGUGAGCUAAAAUACUACAAUACUUGUAACUCCUUUUCACUAGUAAAAUAUUUUUCUUCUAUCUUCACCCAUGGACGUAGGUUAAAAGCCGAACCACGUAAUUUCCUGGUGUCCUCUUUGUGCUUCUUCUUGAUUUUUUUUUCCCAAUUUUACUUUAGUUGCGGCCCUGCUUCACCCGCCAAUUUCCUAACAGCGGUAUCAGAGCUAUUAGUUGUAUUAUUUGGAGUCGGGUACUAUUCACAUACGGUACUGUUCACAUAUACGGUACUAUUCAUGUAUACGUUACUAUUCACGUGAAACGGUGGGAGCAAUUCUAGUAUUGGCGAUGCAAAGCAGGGGAAUAGUGUGUGUGAGUGGAGUAAUUGUGUGGUUUUGGACAUGUGUAAGAAAGUUCUGUCACAAAGGCGAUAAGAGCCUAAGGAGUUAGGAUUUUAAGUGGGACUAUUGUGACCCCUCCAGUCUUUCCUGGGAACUUUCUUGGUGUGCUCUCACACAUACUCACAACUAUUCAAGCUGGUACACUAGUUUUGUACAAUAUUUAUCAACAAAAUGGUGGCAAAGUAUGAAAUUGAGAAGUUUAACGGAAAUAAUUUUUCGUUGUGGAAAAUGAAGAUGAAAGUUGUAUUGAAGAAAAAUAAUUGAUUGGCAGCAAUUAGAGAAAGGCCCAUGGAGAUAACUGAUGACAAGUGGAACAAGAUAUAUGGCAACGCCAUUUUUGAUCUACACUUGGCACUUACGGAUGAAGUAUUAUUCAGUGUGGCAGAGAAAACUACAGCGAAGGAAAUAUGGGAUACUCUCACAAAAUUGUACGAGACCAGGUCACUACACAACAAAAUCUUCUUAAAGAGGAAGCUCUAUACUCUUCGAAUGACGGAAUCUACAAUGGUGACCGACCACAUCAAUACCUUGAAGACUCUAUUUUCACAACUCACAACGUUAGGUCAUAAUAUAGAGGAAAAUGAACAUGCAGAGCUUCUACUUCAAAGUCUACCAGAUUCGUAUAAUCAACUCAUCAUCAACCUGACGAAUAAUAAUCCAGCGGACAGUUUGGUUUUCGACGAUGUUGCAGCCUCCGUAUUAAAUGAGGAGAGCAGGCGGAAAAAUAAGAAAAAUAGACAAGCAAGUUUGCAGCAAGCGGAGGCGUUAUCGGCGACGAGAGGGAGAUCAACGGAACGUGGCUGGCCCCAGUGGGAGUCACAAUCGUGGUAGAUCAAAAUCCAGAAGUAAGAAGAAUGUUAAAUGCUACAAUUGUGGUAAGAAAGGGCACGUCAAGAAAGAGUGUUAGAGUAACCAGAAGAGAAAAGAUGGCAAAAAACCUGAGUCAUCAAAUGCUCAGGGGUGUGUAGCAAGUACCUCGGAUGAUGACGAAAUUCUCUACAGCGAGGCAACAACUGUUUCAGAAGGUAGAAAAUGACUAUAUGAUGUCUGGCUUAUAGACUCAGGAGCUACCUGACACAUGACCUAUCGUAGAGAAUGGUUCCACACAUAUGAACAUAUCUCAGGAGAAUAUGCAUAUAUAGGUAAUGAUCAUGCCUUGGAGAUCGUUAGUAUUGGUACUAUCAAAAUAAAAAUAUUUGAUGGUACAAUUCGCACAAUUGAGGAGGUACAACAUAUCAGCGGCCUGAAGAAAAAUCUAUUGUCUUUGGGACAAAUGGAUAGUCAUAGGUACAAAACUCAUGUGGAGAAUGGAAUUAUGUAGAUCGUUAAAGGCGCGCUUGUAUUGAUGAAGGCAGAAAAGAUCAGUGCUAAUUUAUUCAUGCUUAAAGGAGAAACACUACAGGAGGCUGAUGUAUGUGUCGCGUCAAAUGGAGAAGAGUCAACGAUGAUGUGGCAUCUCAAACUUGGCCACAUGUCAGAACAAGGCUAGAAGAUUCUCUCUGAGUGAAAAUUGCUUCCAGGGUUCAAAUCGGUAAGUUUACCAUUUUGCGAGCAUUGUGUUAUAAGUAAGCAACAUAGAUUAAAGUUCAGUAGAUCUAUUACUAGAAGUAAAUGCAUUCUAGAAUUGAUUCAUUCUGAUGUUUAGGAAUCGCCGGAUAUGUCCAUGGGAGGUGCAAAGUACAUGGUGACUUUCAUUGAUGAUUAUUGCAGGAGAUGUUGGGUGUAUUCAAUUAAGAAAAAGUCAGAUGUAUUUCCAGUGUUUAAAGAAUACAAAGCGCGGGUGGAACUUGAAUUUGGUAAAAGGAUCGAGUGCUUGGGGACAAAUAAUGGUGGAGAGUAUACAGACGGCGAGUUUCUUGCUUUCUGUAAGCAAAAAGGUAUUUAGAGGUAGUUAAUGGUAGCAUACACUCCUCAACAAAACGGAGUGGCGAAGCGAAUGAACAUAACUCUUACAAAAAGAAUAAUAGCUAUGUUGAGGACUGCUGGUCUACCCAAUUCAUUCUGGGCAGAAGCAGCCAAAACUGCCUGUUAUAUCGUAAAUCGAUUGCCAUCUACAACAAUUGGGCUGAAGACAGCGAUGGAGAUAUGGACUGGAAAGCUAGCUGAUUACUCAUACCUACAUGCAUUUGGAUGUCCUGUGUACGUGAUGUACAAUGCCCAAGAAAGAAUAAAGCUUGAUCUAAAAUCUAGAAGAUGUAUCUUCUUGGGAUAUACUGAUGGAGUAAAGGGGUAUCGUCUGUAGGACCCCACUGCCCACAAGAUCGUCAUCAGCAGAGAUGUUAUUUUUUGUAGAAGAUCAACUACAAAGGAAAGAUAGAGAUGAUGACACUGUAAAAGAAAAGUCAGAGACUGUGCCAGUAUAUGUGGAAAAUAAUCCAGAAGAUUCAGAUUCUUCUGAAGCAACACCAGAGCAUGAAGAAUAAGAAUCAGUCGAGUUCGAGGCUCCAGAAGUUCGUCGGUUAACUCGUGAAAGACGACCGCCAACGUGACACUCGGAGUAUGUCACAGAGAUCAACGUUGCAUACUGUUUUCUAACAGAGGAUGGAGAGCCUUCAACUUUCCAUAAAUCUUUAAACAGCUCAGAUGUUACUUUAUGGAUGACAACAAUGCAGGAAGCAAUUGAGGCUCUACAUAAGAACAAGACAUUGGAGCUUGUACCACUACUACGUGGAAGAAAAGAUAUUGGAAACAAAUAGAUCUACAAGAUCAAAUGUGAUGGUAAUGACCAAGUGGAACGGUAUCAUGCAAGAUUGGUGGUGAAAUGAUAUGCUCAGAAAGAAGGUAUUGACUUCAACGGAAUAUUUUCUCUGGUGGUUUGACUCACAACAGUCAGAAUAGUCUUGGUAAUGUGUGCUACAUUUGACUUACAUCUUGAGCAGUUAGAUGUGAAAAUUGCAUUUCUUCAUGGAGAACUUGAAGAAGAAAUUUAUAUGCUCCAACCAGAAGGUUUUGCUGAAAAGGGAAAGGAGAACUUGGUUUGCAGGUUGAACAAAUCUUUAUACGGUCUCAAACAGGCACCGAUGUGUUGGUAUAAGAGAUUUGAUUCCUUCAUCAUAAGCCUCAGAUACAAUAGACUCAGCUCAGACCAAUGUGCAUAUUAUAAAAGGUUUGAAGAUAAUGAUUUCAUUAUUUUGAUAUUGUAUGUGGAUGACAUGUUGGUAGCAGGCCCCAACAAAGAUCGAGUCCAAGAAUUGAAGGUAUAAUUGAUUAGGGAGUUUGAAAUAAAGGACUUGGGACUAGAAAAUAAGAUUCUAGGGAUGCAAAUUCACCGAGACAGAAAUAACAGGAAGAUUUGGCUUUCUCAGAAGAACUACUUGAAGAAAAUUUUGCGACGCUUCAACAUGCAAGAUUGUAAGUCAAUUUCUACCCCACUUCCUGUUAAUUUCAAAUUAUCCUUAAGUAUGUGUCUGAGCAAUGAAGCAGAGAAGGAGGAGAUGUCUCGAGUACCGCAUGCAUCAGCAGUGGGAAGUUUGAUGUUCGCUAUGAUAUGUACUGGAUCGGACAUUGCACAAGCAGUGGGAGCAGUCAGUCGGUACAUGGCAAAUCCUAGUGGAGAGUAUUGGAUAACUGUGAAGAAGAUUCUGAGAUACAUCAGAGGAACCUCAGAUGUUGCAUUAUGUUAUGGAGGAUCAGAGUUUACUGUCAGGGGUUAUGUGGAUUCAGAUUUUGUAGGAGACUUUGAUAAAAGAAAAUCCACUAUUGGCUAUAUGUUUACACUUGCAGGAGAAGCUGUAAGCUGAGUUUUGAAACUGCAGACCGUUGUGGUUUUAUCUACAACAGAAGCAGAAUACAUGGCAGCUACACAAGCUUGGAAGGAAGCUAUCUGGAUACAAAGGUUAUUGGAGGAGUUCGGGCACAAACAAGAGAAAAUUUUUGUGUAUUGUGACAGUCAGAGUGCCUUGCAUAUUGUAAGAAAUCCAGCAUUUCAUUCAAGGACAAAGCAUGUAGGAGUUCAGUAUCACUUCGUUCAAGAAGUAGUGGAAGACGGAAGUGUGGAUUUACAGAAAAUCCAUACGAAGGAGAACCUAGCAGAUGUUUUGACCAAGCCGAUAAAUACUGAUAAGUUUGUCUGGAGUAGAUUCUCUUGUGGCCUAGCAGAAACGUAGGCAACAUGACAGUGGCGAAGCAGAAACGAUGGUGUGGAGAUUGAUUGAUCCUCAAUCAAAUCUCCAAGUGGGAGAAUGUCAAAAGAUUUGGCUGCAACAUCUAGAAGCUGCAUCUAGAAGUUUUGAAGAAGCAAAAUGGGUGGCACAUGACUUUGAAGUUCUAGAUGCUGUAAUGUUUAGUAAAAGAAAAAGAAAAAAAUUCAAAGCUAAAAAAUUCAAAGUUUGAAAAUCUAAAAUUUUUGACCUGUAUGGCUUGAAAUUUUAUAGCCACGUUUUUUACUUUUGAGGCAAAGUUUUGCCUAUAAAUACAAGCUCUCAAUUUAGAGCUUGCAUCCAAUUUUGUAAAGAAAGUCGAGAGCUGUUAGAAGCAAUUCUUGCAGAGCAGAGAGUUUGUAGAGCUUAAAUAAUAAAAGCUCUUGUUUUAGUGAUUUGAGAGUUUAGGUGUAUUAGGGUUUUGGGAAGUGAGCUAAAAUACUACAAUACUUGUAACUCUUUUUCACUAGUAAAAUAUUUUCCUUCUGUCUUCGCCCGUAGAAGUAGGCUAAAAGCCGAACCACGUAAUUUCCUGGUGUCCUCUUUGUGCUUGUUCUUUAUUUUUUUUCAAUUUUAUUUUAGCUGCGGCCCUGCUUCACCCACCAAUUUUCUAACAUCGUCUUCACUGUCACCCUGUGCCUAGGUAAUGCGUGCAAAUCAUGGGGUUGAAUACACUAUUGCUGAAUUCAAUCCAAUUCAGUGGACAUUUGACAAUUCUCCCCAGGUGAGAUUGGACUUCUAGUUUCUUGUAUUUGUUUUUCUUCAUCCGAUGUUUUCAGGGAUACCUAUUUGGCAGUAUAUAAAAAUCUGUGAUAUCGUCUAUACAUAUACAUAUACAUCAUUGGCUUCAGUCAUUUGUGAACAUAUUGGUGGUAGUAGAUGUAUUUUUAUGAUAUCUCUAAUAAAAUCCUAAGUUUGAUUAAUUACAAAAGAAGUAUGAGCGGUGCUGGACCGGGGGGGAGGGGGGAGGAGUGGGGUGUCGGUGUGUUGGGGGUGUGCAGUGCAUGAAUAAAAGGAAAUGAUAGGGGGUGAAAGUUUGUGCUACCGACAUGCUGUAAAAUGGGGACACAAUAUUUCAAAUUAGAGAUUGUGAGAUCCUUAAUAUUGCUGACUUGUGCUUAAAAUGGAAUUCUUGAUAACUUCAAAUGUUAAAGUUCUUGGUGAAAUUUUGUACUUUCUUUUCUUUCAGAUUCUUGUGCCUAUUGCAAAUGGUUCAGAGGAGAUGGAAGCUGUUAUGAUAAUUGAUAUUCUGCGACGAGCUAAAGCAAAUGUUGCAGUUGCAUCAGUUGAGGAUAAACUAGAAAUUCUGGCUUCGUCAAAUUAAAUUAGUGGUAGAUGUGCUCAUUGAUGAGGCGGCUAAACUUUCGUAUGAUUUAGUUGUCUUGCCAGUGAGUUGGGGUGCUUACUCUUGCUUCAUAGUCUUUACCACAUUAUUGACUUACUAACUACAAUUUAUCCAUGCACAUUGCACAGGGUGGACUUGGUGGCGCUCAAGCAUUUGCGAAGUCAGAUAAAUUGGUGAAUAUGCUAAAGAAGCAAAAGGAAUCAAAUAGACCUUACGAUGCUAUAUGUGCAUCCCCAGCUUUAGUGUUGGAGCCCCGUGGCUUACUCAAGGUACGACCAUUUCUGCUUAAAUUAUUUACUCAGAUUUGGAUCACCUAAUCUGAACUUGAUGAGAGAUUAUGAUGUUGUAUGAUUUUAUGAAUGUGGUCUUAUCUCAUGUAAGUCAGUGAUGAAUUAAUUGGAGUUUGUUGACAAAUUAGAAGCUGAAAAACUGCUGCUGCUUCGUUAGUUACAUUACCCAAAGAGUUAAAAUUAACAUCACAAAUUUGUUAUCCCAAAUGAUAUGGCAUUUAUUGAGUGAUUGGUAUUAAUUGUAUUAUCUAACCCACCAACAGAUGAAUGCCGCACCAUUUGAGACGAUCUUUUGGGAUAAAAAAUUUGGGAAGUGCAGCAAAUUUUUAUGCCGAUUUUUUUUGGCUUCAUUCAUGUAAACUCCUCCCCCCCCCCCCCCAAAAAAAAAGGAAAACCAGCAAACACCAAAAAAAAAAAAUUCUGAAGUACUUCCCUUAAUAUCAUUCCUGUGUAUUUCUUUUCCCCUCAAGACAUAUUUAACUUUGGUUCAGGGUAAAAAAGCUACAGCUUUUCCUGCCAUGUGCAACAAGCUGUCAGAUCAGAGUGAAAUCGAAAACAGAGUUGUGGUUGAUGGCAACCUCAUCACCAGUAGAGGGCCAGGAACUUCAAUGGAGUUUGCACUGGCAGUUGUGGAGAAGUUUUUUGGCCGCAACAAGGCACUUGAGCUUGCAAAGAUAAUGCUUUUCACUCGCGCCUAACGUUUGUACCGGGACCUGACUACUAUUAAACUAGUGUGUUUAUUUCUGUAUUACUACUGCUUGUAGAGAGGGGAAACGGAAACUUGAAUUCAUGUUUGAAUAUGGAUUCACUGUGUCGGUUUGUACAGCAGUUUGGUUUAUAAAUAAAUGAGUUCAUAGAGUCAUUUCAAAUAUUUGGAAUAAACCUGAGUUUAGUUCUGUUAUCAAUGGUCGGAGUCCAAUUGCGAUCGACUCACUGGGAAUUUUAAUUAUG